Molecule: long non-coding RNA, 67308 nt
Filed under: Triticum aestivum (bread wheat)
Lineage: Eukaryota; Viridiplantae; Streptophyta; Magnoliopsida; Poales; Poaceae
Description: long non-coding RNA (TAES_LNC009231)
Source: RNAcentral
GGCGCCGUGCCCUGCUCCACCCCAGCUAUAUGUCCCCCGGUUCAGGUCUGUCGCCAUGUCCAGGUCGCGUUUCCUCCGGUGAGGGUUUGUGUGGUUUCCUCCUGUGGCUUGGAUGAGUCGAGGUUGCGUCUUGUGCUCCGUUUUGUAAUUUGCUACGGCUAGUAGUGCGUUGCAGUCUGUCGUGUUCAGCAUCAUUUGGUCAGUCGGUCCAUAGCUGACGAUGGCCUGAACUGUCGAGUGCUCUCCUUGAGCUAGUCGUCGCCUUGUAAGUUCUGACAAGUAUUAUUGUUAGUCGUUCGCUUCAGCAACCAAAAAAUGAGUAUUGGUAGUGGUUUCUCAUUAUCUUUGUGAAUAUUGUACUUAUGUCGGAAUGUUUUUGCCUUGUUAUUUGUGUAUAUUUCGUAUCUUGUGUUCUUGGUACCAGCAGUGGUUUCUCAUCUUUGUGAAUCUUGUGUGUGGUGUUUUUUUUUCUUCUGCCUCGUUCUUUGUCAACAUGAAUGAUAUGUGCGUAUGCUCGCCCAGGCAUACUCUUGUAGAGUAGUAUUGUGAUUGAUCACUCUCUGUUGGGCCAUCGUGGCAGAGCUUCAGUGAGGAUUGUUCCAUGGGGUUUCCGGGAAUCGGAAACAUGGAACGGCUAACUGUAACUCGAUGGGAUUUCCUUGUUCAGAUGACGCUUUUUAGUUGUGAUGAUGAUUGAUGAAUUUAGUGUCUGCUGUUUUCGUGCGAUCGAUGGAUCAUCCAUCCUCCUCCCUUUUGCUGCGAUUUCGCAUUUGCCAGCAAAACACAAAUUCUUUUGGUGGCUCAUUAUUCAAGAUCGAGCUUGGACUGCAGAUAGACUUCAUCGGAGAGGUUGGACAAAUUGUGGGCUAUGUUUCGAUAAAAGAAAAUUGCGGUAAUGCUAGUUGGGACUUUUAGCAACCUGCCUCGACACUCACCGCAGGGUCGCAACAGAGACCCUCGGGCUCGUGCGGCGGUUCAGUCAGACGGGAUCUGCUGAUCCAGUGAUGUGGAUGUGGUCUAGUCAAACGCAAUGCACGUGGGGUGGAUCCGGAUCCACCAAGCAAGCCAUCCUGACCCCGUCGUCCCGUGGUAUCAUCCGUAGUCGUCAAACCGUGCAUCCUCGUGGCUGAGCUGAUGCUUUGACUGGCCACAGCAGAGCACAUCACGCAGGCAAAGCCCGUCGCCGAGCUGGCAGGCGGGUGGCCCCACCCACGCCCACCCCGACCCCCUAUAUCAGAGAGCGAGCGAGCGAGAGGGCAUAGCUAGCGGAUCGCCCGACCCGACUGUUGCAGAUCGCCCCCGAGAAACCCACAAAUUUGCAGAACCUACACUGGGUCACGGGCCCCACCCCCGCGGCCCCACCCGGCAGCGAGGAGGGCAAGGGCAAGGCGGAGGCAGUUUGCAGGAACCCCCCCGUCCUAUUCCGCCUCGCCUCGCCUCCUCCUUCCUUCCUGCCGUUGCUGCCUGCCUCAUCGUCCUUCUCUCUCUCGUCGCCUCGGCCAUCCCAUCUCCUCUCCUCUCUCACCGGCGGGGAGGGUCUGCACGGCCGGCCGCCAUUGGCGCGUCUUCCCGAGGUACCCUCGCCCCGCCAUCUCGAACCCUCGCCCUCGCUGGUCGCUGCCCCUUCGCCGUCUCGCGGUGGUUUCUGCCCUUUUGUGUUAUGUAAUGUAAUGGCUUCGGCAGCGGACGCGAAUUGCCAGGGAUGCAUGGUUCGGGGCGGCGAUUCCUCCUCGGCGGAAUCGGAUCUACUAGGACUAGGAGAGAUGGUGAUGGGCUUUUCGUUCCUGCGUUAAUUAUUUACUUACUUAUUUUUCUUUAUUAUUACUGCGCGGUGUAAUUCAGGUCCGAGUCGUGUGGACGAUAAAAGGGCUAGUGUUAGUGCUGUAAGAAACGCCUGAGGCGGGCAGUGCUCUGCUCUGCCCAAUCCCUGCGAGCAAUCGCUGUGUCUGUGUGAAGGAUGCAUGGUUAUGAUUUAUGAAGCCUGACUGCGUACGUCGUGUCACGUGUGAUCAUGUGUGAUUGACUGAUUGCACGUACGUUGCAGCUCUGAUUGGGGAAGAGUAGAAGAUGGUCGUCAAGGAGUUUACCGUUGAUCUCAACAAGCCUCUUGUUUUCCAGGUACCAUCUGCUCUCUCAAUAUUUGCUUCUUCACAUCAAUUGUUGCAGCAACUCUUCUCGGAAAUUUUAGGUGUGCACAUUUCCCAUUCCUUUCCCACUUUAAGUUUGUCGUCAUUUUGAGCUUGUGGCAUACAGCCAUACACUUCUGAGGUGCUGAAAUGCUGAACUGUCAACAUUUCAAGUGAUGCUUGGUGGACUUUGCUCUACUCUUCUGAAAUAAUAUGCUGUAGUGGUGAACUUGUGGUUUUACAAGCUUUAACUUAUCCGGUGGAGGCUUCUAUCCCUACUCUUCUUCUAUCAAUAUAUGAUAUGCACGCUCGUGCAUAUUCUAGAAAAAAAAGUUUUAACUUACUGAGAAUUGCUUCUGCCUGACAGUUGAAGUAAACUACUACUUUUGACCGUGCUGUGUAUUUUGUGGCUCAAGGUUGGCCAUCUCGAGGAACAUUACCAGGAAUGGGUUCACCAGCCCAUCGUGAGCAAAGAAGGUCCACGCUUUUUCGCAAAUGAUACCAUGGAGGUAACGCCAAUGCGCUCCGGUGUAUAUAUUAACGUCAUUGGGGGAUUUUGGAAACUGAACUGUCACCAUAUACGUAAUAAAUUUCUUUGUGCAGUUCUUGACACGCACAAAGUGGUGGGCUGUGCCAGUCAUAUGGCUACCUGUCGUCUGCUGGUUGUUUGCCAAGUCUGUUCGGAUGGGUCACACCAUUCAGGAAGUAAUCUUGAUGGCCCUAUUUGGGGUGUUUGUUUGGACGUUGAUCGAGUACAGUUUGCACCGCUUCCUGUUCCACAUCGAGACGAGAAGCUACUGGUAAGAAGAACUUAUCAACCUUCACCUGGGAAUGUUUUAUCGGGAUUCUCCUCAUGCUUGUAAAUCGUACCCCCCUCCGAUCCGUAAUAAGUGUCGUGGUUAUAUAUGCUCGUAACUGAUGGAUGGUUGGUGCGGCAUUUCAGGUCGAACACCGCGCAUUACCUUAUCCAUGGAUGCCACCAUAAGCAUCCUAUGGACUCCCUCAGGCUCGUAUUCCCUCCUGCUGGGGCAGCGAUCAUAUGCGUGCCGGUACAUAUCCCUGACUGAACCCAUGGAAUGGAAAUGCUGAACAUACAUUUGCAAACUGCCUCCAUGAAACAUAACCCAAAGUGGUUUUGUUUUUGUUUCUUAUUUUUCAGUUCUGGAAUGUUGUGGCAUUCUUCGCAAGUCCAUCCACGACUCCUGCGCUGUUCGCCGGCGGCCUGCUGGGGUACGUGAUGUAUGACUGCACGCACUACUACCUGCACCAUGGACAGCCGUCCAAAGAUCCAGCGAAGCAUCUCAAGGUGACUAACUAGCAUGAUUCCACUUGAAGCCACCGAUAGUCUACCAGUAGCUGUUGCUCAUUCCUCACAAACUUGACUCGUGAUGCAGCGGUAUCACCUCAGCCACCAUUUCAGAAUCCAGGACAAGGGCUUCGGCAUCACCUCGUCGCUCUGGGACGCCGUUUUCGGGACCUUGCCUUCGUCCAAGAUCGCCGCGAAGCUCAGCUGACACGCAUGAACAUGCUCUUUGCACGAGGAAUUUUAGUAGAGAGUUUGUAGGCUUAGGUUAGGGGCAAAGCUCAUCUUGCAUUUCUGCAAUGGGUUCGCAUAUCUGCACGGUUGGAGAUGUCUGUCCUGAUGUGAAGACGUUUUGGCUGCCUCGACUUUUCAUCCCCAGCAAUAGGCUAUUCAUUUCGUUCUAGUCGAUGUUAGGAUAAAUAGUCAUAUUCCUUGGUUGAAUUGUGAUAUCUUCUGUCAUCUUUCUCUUUGAGUUUUAGUUGUCGGCUGUUCAGAGAAUGGUGCGAGAUGCUCUUUUCUGGGUCCUCGUCAUGAGUUGCCUUCUACCCCCUAUGUUCCUAAAUAUAAGUCUUUCUAGACAUUUCAAAUGGACAACAAUAUACAGAUGUAUGUAGGCAUAUUUUAGAGUGUAGGUUCACUCAUUUUGCUCCGUAUGUAGUCACUUGUUAGAAUCUCUAGAAAGACUUAUAUUUGGGAACAGAGGGAGUAUCAGCAUAAAGGGAUAUCUGAAGGAUAUUCUCUGGAUAGCCUUUGCACCUUUAGAAGAGUGUGUACAAACUUGAACGUGUGUGAUAGAAAUAAAUGAACUUGUACAUAUGAGUGAAGAAACAAAGAAAAUUUUCCGGUGGAACUAAUGUUAAGCCAUGAGAACGUGGCAAAUCUGAAGCCAUUCCUGCGGUCGGAGAUCGCACAUGGGUCAUAGCAAUACCUGGCAGAGAUACACCCAUAUACUCAGGCACUCAGCCAUCUCAUUCGCAACAAUUCCGUGGUUCAUAGUACAGAUCUACAGCCAGUUGGGGCAUCAGAAGCACAUGAGACUAUUGGUUCAGAUACCCUCCAUUUCAGAAUCAAAAGGUGCUAGAUGCCAUAUGAAUUAAGUUUUGACAGUAACUAGUGGAUUUGAUCUCCGAAAGAAACAGCCUGUUCAAAACAAAAUGUAGACUGAGCUAAAUUGCGACUAGAAACAAGUCAACAACAAUGCAUUGCCAGACAAUACGCUGGCACAACAGUCCCCCCUUAAUCUGGGGAUGUUCAAGAGUGGAUUAUACGGGGUGAAUUUUUAGGUCGCCCUCUCUUGCCAUUUUUUGUCACCUUUGGCUGGCUGGUCACCAAAGCGUACAUUCUGACAGCAAAUAAUUCCUCAGGCAGCUCCUUUUGGUUCUGUUAUCAAAUUGCGAGAUUAUGUGGCUGACAAAUGGAAGCUGAAGUUUGUCGUUUGGGAAAAUUUAAUAUUUUGCGAGAUGCAUACCUUGAUGCUGUGGAUAUACAACCCACACUUGUUAAAUAGCUCCCUGAAAUAUGCAUCAGACCUGGUGACACUGUUAUCCUCCUUGUCUAAAACAAAUCCUGACAACACAAACAUGAUAAAUUUCUGAAUAAGUAUAACAUGGACUGCAUCUCUAUCAUAAAGUACAGCUGCUGCAGUAACGAUACAGAUCAUUUGAUAUAGUAAGCUCACCAUUUUUCGCAAUGUUCUCUUUCAGAACAAAAAAACCAUCCGGUUUGAGCCCAACCUGUAAACAACACCACCCAUGUAUGUUCAAUUAAUAUGCAUAGAUGGUUGAACAGAAUAUACAUAAUAUUAAAUCAGAGUUUGACUGUUUGACUAUACUAAUAGGCGCACUGACAUGGUGAAAGAGAGCCAGAACUGGAAUUAAGCCAUAAGUAAAAAAUACAGACUGGAGUUGGCUUAGAAGAUGUCGCUUGUUCCAACUUGCACUGUACAUGUAAUUGUUGAAACUAUAUGGUGAGCAUCUUUCUACAUAUGCAUAAGAAAUUUAUUGCAAGCAUUUGUUUAGCAGCGAAAAAUAUCAACAUCCUUUCUCCAAUAAUAGUACAACACUAAAGCAUGCUUCUGCAUACAAUGUACAUGUUGAAUUUACACUAUUAAAAGUACAGAAAAAAAAACUUCAAGGCAAGAAAUCAGCAUAAUGUUAAAACAAAAUAUAAGCGAGUGUAAACCGAAUCACCUUUGCACGGUUAAAAAAUGAAAUAAAAUCAUCAUCAGUAAGUUGCCCUAUGCACCACUGGAUCCAUAUCACAUCAUAUCUUCCUUCCUCGGGAGUGAAGUCCUGAAGCAAGAAGCGGCAUUUACCAUAUGGAAAGAAGUGGUAAGAAAUUUGCAAAGAGCAUAACCACAAUAAGAAUGCUCAACCAACCUGAAGAGGUAUACAAUAAAAGUUCGCAGCCUUGUGGGUAUCAUGUCCUACAUCCAUACAACUACUAAGAUUUUCCCGUGCCGCUUCUAGAAAAUGGGCUACUGGCUCAACGAGAUCAACCUGAAAAUCCAAAGCCAGUUUAAAAUGAAUCAUCAAAAUUUGGGAGAAACAGAAAAUCACAAUUCAAGUUGUGUUACAUCAGGGAGAAAAAGAAAAAUUGUAAGUUCUUGCAAAAAUCACUGUGUGCGUACAACAACAGAAGCUGCAUGGAGUGAGGAUAACAAUUCAUUAGUCUAGAACUGGUAUCAUGUAUGGAUAAGCAGGUCUUUUCAGGCUUCAAUAGAUCAUGCUACAAAGUAAAACUUGUAACCGUGAGUUGCACUGCAUACCUCAUUGAAAUGCUUGAUAAGAAAAUUCUUCGUAACCCGCCCGAUGCCCGAGCCACAAUCUGCCAUAAUUUCAGAGAUGACAAUAUAAGUGCACAAUUAUAUAACAGAGAGCACACAGGAUCCCAUGACAUGAGCAAGCUAUGCAGUCGCAGAGAUAGAAGAACUAAUAAAAUGCUCUCCGCGGCAGAGCUCAGCUCACCAAGCGCGACGAGAUGGCGCUUCGCGGCGCCGAAUCGCUCCGCGAGGAGGGGGCGGAGGAAGGCGGCGCUGCCCUUGACGUCGGCGUCGUUGACGCACCCAUAGCCUCCCAGGACGCCCUCGGUCGACGCCUCCACGCCCUAGGACACACCAAUUGGAGCAACUGGUAAGCUAAAUCUGCAGCCAGAGGACGUGCAAUCGGAUUGGGGGUUUAGGGUUUAGGGAGGGGCGGCUGAGCGCGGGUGCUCUUUAGAAUUUACCUGCCAGUAGGCGAUCCCUUUGGAGUACCACUCCUCGCGCUUCCCUUCCCCGCCCGCUUCCUCGCCGGCGUCCCCAUUGCUUGGAGCGGCGGCGGCGGCGGCGGCGCCCGGAGGGACUUCGGAGGCCGAGGCGGAGGCGGAGGCGGUGGCGCCGAUCUCUUGCGCCCACAUCUCCGUGGCGCUGGAAAACUCGCGGCCCGUGGAAUCGAAGCCCCGGGAGUCCAUCUCUCCGGCGGCGGCGGCGGCGAAGUUAGAGUUGGUCGCGCGCGAGCAGGGGAAGCUUGUGGGUGUAACUGUAUAUUCGGUUUUUACAGGUAUCCUUCUGCAUAUAUUCCCACCACCCGGAGGCAAGUGAAAUCUUUGCCGCUUUGGUGGGACCUGAUGAUAUCUGGCAUUUAAAUUUUCAAGAUGUGCAAUUUUCCAAAAACUCUACCUCGAAUCACCACAAAAAAUCAUGAAAGAAAAGAGUCAAAACUUCUUUAACAUUGUUGAUGCAUGGUGCAUAUAAAAUGGCACAAUAUUUCAAGGAAAAUUUGAUCCAUCGGUUGGAUACAGUUUUUUUAAUGCAAGAGAUAAUAAUAAAGCAUCUAUUAUUUGCAACAUAUAUAAUAAAUUGAUACUAUUCCUAUACAUAUUUGCGGUCUUUUGAAUUUCGAUUUGUGGACCAAUGUUGGAAUUUAAAAUCUGUCGCACGAUAGAUCCAUAUGGUAUCAAUGUUGCUACUUCCAACAAAAGUUUUAUGCGUGGUUGGUACGGGAGCACAAAGCAUUGUUACAUUCUCUAUGUUUAACACAUAAGCUGAUUGAAGAGGGUAUUUUGACAAUAGCGAAGGUGGUUAUUGUCAUCGAUGACGGCACAUUGCAAAACAUUGUCGUCUCUCCACUCUCCACACAACAUCAUUCCCCGUCGAGCGACUGCCACAUUCAAUGCUCUUUCAUUUUCGGCACUUCGUGACAGUGGCUCCUCCUUUUCAUCUAAGUAAUUGUCCCCUUUGAGCUUGUUGGUGACAAUGCAUUGUGGAACAUCGUUAUUUCAUCACUCUCCACUCAGUAGGACACUCUUCUAUCUCGAUGGUGUCUCCAGUAGUUGCACAGCGGUUGAAGGAUGAGAAUUUGGCCGUGAAGAUUGGAGAACAUGAUACUGAACUCGAUCGCGCUAUUGAUGCCCAACAUCCUUUUGUCGCACCAGGUUUAGAGAGCAUCAUUCUGAUAAAGGCUAUAAAAAUGACCGUGUCGGCCAGGCCACUUCGCUAAUGAGGAUGAGCCAACACAUGUCUAUUUGCAACUCAAUGAAACUGACCUUGAGAUGCUUGUCACGUCGAGGUCAUUCGCCGAUGGUCAAAGGUCUUUUGCCAAGGAGCUCGAGGCUCAGGAGUAUGCUGGCUACUCAUGGUAUCAACAACCUAGGCUCGUUGCUAGGGAGCUCAUCUUUCAUGCCCGGUGGACACAAUUUGUAGAGUUCCAUGGCUCGAUGAACAAUGACAUCCUGACCUUGAAGCUCAAGCACAAGUCAAGCCGAAGGUUGGGAUCUAUGAUUCUGUCGACUACACUGAGAGGGUGAUCACUCGUCAUUAUCACCCUAUCUUUCGCUACUUAUGAGGAGGGUUUUGUGUAUGUUGUGGUGGGCUUUGGGUUAGGGGUAUAUUAGAAAUACCUGAUGUUGAUGAUAGAUGAUCAAACUAUUGUUGGUGGCUUUUGCAUCAUGAUUGCAAGACAAAAAACCUGAUGUUCCGUGCUGAUCAAACAACUUAAUCAUAAUAGUAUAUGCACUUAUUGCAAGCCUAUCUUUGUGAAGUUAGUAGUGAUAGUUUACGAACUGAGCCUAACUAAGAUGGUUAUGUUUCUUGAGGUGGAACCAACCCACCAGGGUUCAAGUUCUAGACUUGACACUGAUGCUCUCAUUUUCCUGGAUUUAUUUCAGACUUUUCGGCGAUGUUCGUUUAGUGAGAGGAGACAUUCCUAUCGACUACGAAGGCGUCUGUGGUGACUUCGCCAAUCUUAAGAUGUUGUGCCGGCCCAGUAUCCCGAAGGUGCCCAUAGGGGUAGGUUGGGUGUGUGUGCGUUUUAGGGGGUGAGUGUAUGUAUGUGUAUGUGAGCAUCUGUGUUAAAAAAAUUAUUGAUGGUUUUAAAUUGCUCCGGAAUGAACAAUAAAUUUGAUUUUUGUUUUAGAGAAAAGUUUUAAAAAAAUAUGUUUUUUGCACUGAAGAUGCUCGAGUGUGCUAUGGAAAAUUUCAGACAAAUGACCACGGAAAUUUGCAUGCUCCUAGCACACUCGAGCAUCCUUGGUGCUAAAAAUUCAGAUUAUUUUUCUAUUUAUCUACCAAAUUUACUUUUCAUGAGGAGUAGAUUGGAUUAUCGAUUGCGAUGAUGUGUAUUUAUAUUGUGAUAUCAAAUCAUGUAACAUAAAAUGAGGCAAUCUUAGAAGUAACUUUAAGCACACCGAAGUCAUUUAGGGGGUAAUUAAGAAUUUCAGAUGUUGGAGUAUAUUGGAGUCAUAGACUCCUGGGAUCACAUAAUACUAUAACUGUUUUGUAGAUAACUUUUGUCUUAAUAUAUUGCAGUCGGACACUCUCCUACUGUUUUGUUACUUCAAAAAAGGAUUACAUAUUAUUGCUCAUAAUAUAACAGCAGAGUUUAUUGAAGUGAUUUACAAAACUCACUAAGGAUCCCAAGUUAUGAUGCAGACCCAUUAAGUAUCUGCAGAUGUUACAUGAAAUAAAAAUGACUGUAUUUUCCUCCGAAAAUGCAACGAUGCCGAGUACAUGAACAAUUGUUGCCUCAAAGACAAAAUCUGAUGGUCUACCCAAAUUUUGUCUUGCCUUGUAAGUCCGUAUGAAAUUCGAGCUGAAUAAAGCCUGGAAUUUCUUGCAUGGUAUUGUUGUCACACAUUGAAUCGGAAGAGCAUGACAUCUCCUUCCUGCACAAUAUACUCCUUCCCUUCCAACCUCAUCUGCAGUCAUAGAGAGGGAAAGAAAUAAAGAAAUUUCCUUGUGUGCUUCAUCUCUAAAACUUAGCUAGUAUUUAUUCAUAUAAGUGCACAUAUUGUUACCACUCCCUUCUCCCUUGCUGCUCCAAGAGUACCCGCCGCAACAAAAUCAUCGUAAGAUACCUGAGUCAUGGUAUGUGACCGUUGUGAAAUUAUUAAAAUUAACACCAGAAAAUAAUGGUACAGUACAUGAAAAGAACCUGAAACUAUCUCAUUACUAGCACAGUACCCUGAUACUUACAGUUUCAGCUCUAAUGAAGCCUUUCUGGAAGUCGCUAUGAAUAACUCCGGCUGCUUGAGGUGCAGUCAUGCCUGUAACAAUAACAUCCAAGACAAAACAUAGUCAAAACUUUGUGCCCACGGUGCAAAAAGAUGAAGGCAGUUCCUACAGUAAUUGAAAUAAUACAGUAACAGAAUUGUGAGAAUGUGAAUAAAACCUGCAAUAAUGGUCCAAGCUUUUGUUUCCUGACAAAAGGAAAAAAAGGAUUUGAAAGUUAGGAUCAAUAGCUGAAGAACAAAGUGUCUUGACAGCAGAAGAGAUUCACCUGCUCUCCGGUAGUGAAAUAAGUUCUUAGUCCCAAAAGGUUAUACGUUGCUUUUACCAAGUUGCCUAGCCCACUUUCGGCAACAUCAAGAGAAUUUAGGUAUUCAACUCUCUCUUCCAGUGGUAGUUCAGACAGUUCAGCCUCAACCUGGUGCACUCACAAUUUCAUUAGCUUACAUAGAUAAUAGAUCAGGUGAAAUUGUCUAAUGCCUAGGUCGAUGCAUAUGGUAUCACUUAUCACAAACCUGAGCUGAUAUUGUAACCAUGCCAGAUUUCAGCUCUGAUGCUAGUUUGGCCACCUCUUGGACAUGGGGAUUUUUAUCAGGGUCGGCAAGAUCAGACUCUGUUACAUUAGCAACAUAAAUGACUGGCUUCAUAGUGAGCAGAUAAAGAUGUUGUAUAGCUUCUUUCUCAUGGUCAGGCAAAUCAACAGAUCUUGCAGGCUUUCCAUCCAUAAGUGCAUCCAGAAUUUUUUCUAAGCCCGACCUUUCUGCUCCUUCCUGAGUAGUGAAAACUGGAAUCAAGAACAAAACCUAUCAAAUAAUGGUAGAGUUUGUGAAUAUAACUUACCUUAACUUUUACUUGUGGAUCCUUAGUUUUGCUCUUUUUAAGCUUAUCCAAUCUCUUCUCUAUCUGCAGUUUUUUUUACAAAACUGUCUUGGUUAAGAUAUGAACAUAAAGAAAAAAAUAAAUCCCACAUGCUACUAAGCAAGGAUAGCAGAACUUUUCAUUAUAUUACCUGUUCCAGAUCACAAAAUAUGAGUUCUAAGUUAAUCACAUCAAUAUCUGACUUGGGAUCAACUUUUCCAUUCACGUGAACAAUAUCAUCAUCUUCAAAACAUCGCACAACCUGAAAAUCCAAUGAAGAAAAGAUUGGUGCUAAGUCAAUCCUUAGAACCCCAACAACCAAUAGCCUAUUAUGUUUUUCAAACUGGAAGUGCAAGCAAAAGAAGGCAAUCAUUGGAUGUUCAAACAUAGUACAACCGCUGAACUGAAGGUAAAGGAACAUCUAUUGGAGAAUUAUAGUGAUUCAAACUCUGCAAAAUAAGAGGAUACCAACAGAAUGGUAUGCAGCAGUUGAGAAACAUGGGAAUGCAGCUACUGAAAAAUGCCUGAGAGCACAAAUAUAUAUACUACAAAGUCAGCAAACUUACCUGGAGUAUAGAAUCCACUUCACGGAUGUUUGAAAGAAAUUGAUUUCCCAGUCCCUGAAGUCAACAACCAGGUAAACAUUUUCAUAUAUAAACUAGUGAAAACAAUCAUCGACAUGUUCUGUGCUGCGCUCGGAAUAAAACGAAGGCAACCGCUACCUCUCCUUUGCUCGCUCCUUUGACGAGGCCUGCAAUGUCGACAAGCUCAAUGGACGUCGGGACCGUCUGCUUGGACUUGCUUAACUUCGAGAGCACGUCCAAGCGAGGAUCGGGAAUAGCCACGACGCCGGUGUUUGGGUUUAUGGUGCAGAAGGGAAAGUUUGCAGCUUGGGCCUUCCCAUUUUCAACCUAAUAGCAUUGAGAAACGAACUCACAUUUUGUUUUUGCGAUAAAUACAUGCCAAUUGCGUCUCAAAAUCGCGAGACAUAGAAACCAUUCCAUGAAGCAAUCAUUGUUGCAAGAACAUAAAUUAUGCAGUGAGCGUGAACCAAGUUCAAAGAUAUUAACCAUUUCAACCUUUUGACAGUAUCACCUCUAAGCGGCAAAACAUCGAACAGUUCAAAUGCAGUGACAUUGCCCCUACACGCACGAUUCAUCUGCUUGAAUGACCAGUGCACUAAUCGAAAGGCGUUGCUCUAGGAGCGAGAAUUCAUUGCCCCCGGCUACCUCGAGCUCUCGACGAGAUGACAUCCUUGUCACGGACAGGAGCAUUUUUAAUUUUCAAGCGGCGGGUUCUGUCUGUGCUCAAUCGGUGACUUACAAUGGCGUUGAAGAGGGUGGACUUGCCGACGUUGGGCAGGCCGACGAUGCCGGCGCGGAGGCUCAUGCUAAUCUUCGCGUUGCGGCCCGAGGAGUACCGCCGCGCGCCCCCGCCGCCGCCGACGACGCCCCGGCUCCGCUGCCAGCGCAGGAGGAGCGCCGAGGAGGCGCGAGAGGAGGGCAACGGCAAGGGCGUCGUCGCCGGCACGGCGGGCGUCCGCGUGAACCCCACGAACGCCGAGCCGAGCGCGCGGGACAUCGUCGCCAUGGGCGCCCGCCGAGAAGAGCAGUCGCCGCCGGCGCAGGAGCGUACGGCGAGAGAGGCACGAGGGACUAGCCCGAGAUAGAACGAUAGAACGAUGGAUGGCACGUGAGCGCCACGUGAGAGUUCAAGUCCAUAACACAAUUUUCUGCCUCGUUUCCCUCCUUGCCUCCUCGCCUCGCCGGCGCUGCCAUGCGCCGCCGCGUCCUCCUCCGCCUCAGGCCACCGGCGCGGCGAUGCCUCUGCGCGGCGCUCUCGACCGCGGCCUCGACGACGGCGGCCGCGCCCAGCGCGUACCGCCUGCUGGCCCUCCUCCGCGGCUGCGUGGCCCCGCCGCACCUCCCGCUGGGCCUCCGCAUCCACGCGCGCGCCGUCACCUCGGGCCUCCUCGCGGCCGCCGACGGGCCGGCGGCCGCGCUCCAGACGCGCCUCAUCGGCAUGUACGUCCUCGCGCGGCGCUUCCGGGACGCCGUCGCGGUGUUCUCCUCGCUCCCGCGCGCCGCCGCCGCGUCGGCGCUCCCCUGGAACUGGCUCAUCCGCGGGCUCACCAUGGCCGGGCACCACCGCUUCGCCGUGCUCUUCUACGUCAAGAUGUGGGCCCACCCGUCCGCGCCGCGGCCGGACGGCCACACCCUCCCCUACGUCGUCAAGUCGUGCGCCGCGCUCGGCGCGCUCGCCCUCGGCCGCCUCGUGCACCGCACCGCGCGGGCGCUCGGGCUCGACCGCGACAUGUACGUCGGGAGCGCGCUCAUCAAGAUGUACGCGGACGCCGGCCUCCUCGGGGGCGCGCGCGAGGUGUUCGACGGAAUGGCCGAGCGGGACUGCGUCCUGUGGAACGUGAUGAUGGACGGGUACGUCAAGGGCGGCGACGUGGCCAGCGCGGUGGGGCUGUUCGGAGCCAUGAGGGCGUCCCGCUGCGACCCCAACUUCGCGACCCUGGCGUGCUUUCUGUCUGUGUGCGCCACGGAGACUGACUUGCUCUCUGGGUUGCAGCUCCACACCCUGGCGGUGAAGUAUGGGCUAGAGCCAGAGGUCGCCGUGGCUAACACGUUGGUGUCAAUGUAUGCCAAAUGCCAGUGCUUGGAUGAUGCGUGGAGGCUGUUUGACCUGAUGCCACGAGACGAUUUGGUAACCUGGAACGGGAUGAUAUCUGGGUGCGUUCAGAACGGGCUUGUCGACGAUGCGUUGAGAUUGUUCUGUGACAUGCAGAAGAGUGGUCUUCAGCCUGAUUCAGUUACACUGGCGAGCUUGUUACCAGCUUUGACUGAUUUGAAUGGUUUCAAGCAGGGGAAGGAGAUACAUGGCUACAUUGUCAGGAACUGUGUGCAUUUGGAUGUCUUCUUGGUGAGUGCUUUGGUGGACAUAUAUUUCAAGUGCAGGGAUGUGAGGAUGGCACAGAAUGUCUUUGAUGCUACAAAGACCAUCGAUGUGGUUAUUGGUAGCACAAUGAUCUCGGGUUAUGUUCUUAAUGGGAUGAGUGAAGCGGCAGUGAAAAUGUUUCGUUACCUCUUGGAAGUGGGCAUCAAACCAAAUGCCGUCAUGGUAGCUAGCACGUUGCCAGCAUGUGCUUGCAUGGCUGCUAUGAAGCUUGGUCAGGAGCUCCAUGGGUAUGUUCUGAAAAAUGCAUAUGAAGGAAGGUGUUAUGUGGAGAGUGCAUUAAUGGACAUGUAUGCGAAAUGUGGUAGACUUGACCUUAGCCAUUAUAUCUUCUCUAAGAUGUCUGCUAAGGAUGAGGUGACAUGGAACUCGAUGAUUUCAAGCUUUGCACAGAAUGGGGAACCUGAAGAAGCUCUUGAGCUGUUUCGUCAAAUGAGUAUGGAAGGAGUGAAGUACAGCAAUGUGACUAUAUCUUCCAUCCUAUCAGCAUGUGCAGGCUUACCAGCUAUAUAUUAUGGAAAGGAGAUCCAUGGUAUCAUCAUAAAGGGUCCCAUAAGAGCAGAUGUGUUUGCUGAGAGUGCUCUCAUAGAUAUGUAUGGCAAAUGUGGGAACUUAGAAUUGGCUUUUCGUGUUUUUGAAUUCAUGCCUGAGAAGAAUGAAGUGUCAUGGAAUAGUAUAAUCUCUGCCUACGGGGCUCAUGGCCUUGUUGAAGAGUCGGUGAGUUUAUUAUGCCGCAUGCAAGAGGAAGGAUUCAACGCAGACCAUGUAACAUUCCUUGCUUUGAUAUCUGCUUGUGCUCACGCUGGGCAGGUUCAAGAAGGACUCCGACUUUUUAAAUGCAUGACUGAGGAAUAUCAGAUUGCACCUCGAGUGGAACACUUAGCUUGCAUGGUUGACUUAUAUAGCCGGGCUGGGAAGUUGGAUAAAGCCAUGCAAUUUAUUGCUGACAUGCCUUUCAAGCCGGAUGCUGGCAUUUGGGGUGCUCUUCUCCACGCUUGCCGUGUGCAUCGCGAUGUUGAACUUGCAGAGAUUGCUUCUCAAGAACUAUUCAAGUUGGAUCCUCAUAAUUCAGGUUAUUAUGUGCUCAUGUCCAAUAUCAAUGCUGUUGCUGGACGGUGGGAUGGUGUCUCAAAAAUGAGAAGAUUGAUGAAGGAUAAGAAAGUUCAGAAGAUACCUGGUUACAGCUGGGUAGAUGUUAAUAAUACCAGCCAUUUAUUUGUUGCAGCAGACAAAAGCCAUCCUGACUCUGAAGAUAUUUACAUGUCUUUGAAGAGCCUUCUUCUAGAAUUAAAACAUGAAGGUUACGUUCCCAGGCCAGACAUAUGUUAUACCACGCAACCAGACAACACCACCCAGGUUCAGCAAUGAUUUCUCUGCAGAUUAUUUUAUUCAGCAUGCAUUUUCAUAGUUCAAACCCUUGUUCAACCAUUGCUUUUCUUUGUUCUUACCACCUUCUGUAACUAAAAUGAUACAAAAAUGAACUAUCUGGACAAGGUACCACUGUAUUGCUGAUCCAUCCAUGUCCAACUUCAUGAGACACAGGAAUCAGGAUCAGUUAUACUAUCAUUGCUAAUGAGGUGAUAACACAUUACAUUUUUUCCUUUAAUUUAAUAUAGUUUGCAGGUUAGUCAAAAAUAUCGUUCUGGUAUAUCUUUUUUCUUCUUCUCGAACAUGCACCCAAAUGCAUGCCAUUGUAUUAAAUUAAAGGAGUCGAAGAACUAAGAACCAAAGCCGACCAAAACCCAAAACUGUACAGUUAGCCUACUGCAAGCAGGGUGCUGGUGUAGGGCCGUUCUUGUAUAAUGUAUAUAAUGCCUCUCUGUUACUGCGUAUCUCCUGGCAAGGGAUUGCAGAAAAGCCAUUUUAAUAUGGUAUAGUUGUUUAGUGAUUUGCUUGCUUGUUUUGUUCUGUUGCUAUGUUGCUGUAGAAGGCAAGGUUGGGCGAUUUGGAAGACUGUUCCAUGCAGUUAGUUCUAUUGUCUUCUCCAUUGCAAUUGAGAGUAUACUAAUGUUCUUUUCUUACUGUAGGUAAUGGCAAUUUGAUUGUGAUUUAUCCCAGUGGAAUCUGAUAUUCUAAUGGUAAUAAAAGGAGAAUUCGUUUUUGUACAAAUUGUUGCAUAGAGCAAAGCAAAGCUUCUAAUGCAGUACGAUUCCAUGUUUCCAUGUGAAGAAGUGGCGAGUUGACUUGCUUGUGCAUUAGCUGAACCCUAAACGCUCAAUUCGUAAUGCAGUAAGAACAGGCCCCUUUUGUUUUGUUUGUUUUCUGGUUAACUUUUUUAUCAUCCUUUGCAAAGAUAUGAUAGUUGUAAGAAAAAACCUAUUCUCAUUUUCUCCUUUUUGUUUAACUAUGAGUUCUAAUUCCUAACACUGUACUUUUCCACAGAAAUUCAAAUGGCCAUGGAAUGUAUCUUGUCCAUCUUGGCCAUGUAUCACCUGUACAUAGGCGCGGUCUGAUCAGCAAAGUUUAUAUAAUUCUUUGAAGGGUCAAACUCUCAAUGCUGACAGUUUAUUCCUUGUACUGUGUAAGUUCUGCAAGCUAACUUGUAUGGCUUUUCCGUCUUGAACCUGGACAACAUUAUUCUAUUUCUGCACCAUAAUGUUCUAGAAGCUAUUUGUGUAAUUUCUUGGAAAGUUUUGUCCGGUGAAAAGAAAAUCUAAAAGUGCUAUCCAGAUGGAUAAAUAGCUAUUGGUGUAUAGAUUGUGCUAAAGUUAAUCACUUUUGUCCAAUGACAUGAACAAAAAAAGCAUCUAAUUCUGUUGGUUCUGAGUUGCGUGCUUCUGCCCUCUACACAAUUUUUUGGUCAUUACGUAAGCAUAGUUAUGCAGGUUGACAGGCCUGUCAAAACCAUGAGAACACGCGAGAUUCAACAUUUUCACAGCAGCUUGGCAUGCUUAUGAAACAAGAUUGUGCAGCACAACAAGGUUAACAAUGAAAUGUGCGUGACCUGUUGAGUCAGUCGAUCAUUUUAACUGAUCUGAAGGUAAUUUUAUCGUUUCUCCCUACUGUUAUGUGUACACCUUACAAACAAGUCUUAUAUCAUUGAAUUGAUCGCCAUAUAUGCUUGAAUUCAUGUCACAGGGCUUUGGAUCUAGAACAGAGGACCCCUGGGUGGUAUGGCUUGGAGAUAUCCAAUAGGUCUGUUCAAAUCUUGACAAAAAAUACUAUUGUUUCAUGACUAUGGAAAUUCACAUUUGCUCUUCAGAUGUUCCUGAACGGAAUAUGGAAGCUAAUUGGUUCGUCAUAUAUUUGUUUUUUAUGGGUUGUUGAGUUCAUACUUCAUAGCUGAUAUGAAAUCAGUUGCAGAAAAAUAACUCAAAUACAUAAUACAUUUGACAUCAGCCGAUGUUUUGGUCCAUAACUAGAACUUUGCAAUAACAAUCUUGCAGGCUCAAGUUUGGCAUGGUUAAUCUCAAGGUCACUUUACAUAUAAUAAACCACGCUUUCUUAACUCUUACAAAUUCUUGUAAGAGAAUCUGAACUCAUAUCUCAUCAUCCAAUAUUUUCAGAUCAUUUGGAAGCUUCUCGCGCCGUAUCUGCGCAAGACUCUGGGGAUUUCUUGUCGCGUCCAGCAUCCUAUCCAAGAACUGAACGAACCGGCGAUCCUCGUGAGCAACCUGUGGGUCUGAAAACCUAGCGAGGUUAUCUUGAUCCUGCACCAUUACCAGCAAAAAGCAUCGAUAAAUAGACGGUCUCUCCAACCGAAGCAACAGACACAUUGGUACUAGCCAUCCUCCAGAAAUGCAAGUGCUGUUUACUUGUUCAGAGGUAUGCACAGGCUAGGUUUUUUUUUCAUGGCUAUGUCAUCGUUCAAAUUGAAACUGUAAUAAAACACCGAGCAAUCUUGCAUUUAUUCGUGUAGACCAAGAAAACCUUCAGCCGUUAUACAUAAAAAAAAAAAUCAUGUUGAUUUGGCGGAGAAAUGGGUCCAUGAGCAUCCAUUGCUUUGCCCAUGAGCCAAGUUGCAGGAAGAGACCCUGCAUCCAUCCAUUCCUGGGAGAAAUUUGUGGGUAAAGUAAAGAAGGGCGAACCUUGCUUGCGCUGCCCGCGCCGGCUUGCUCACACGCGCUGCUGCAGAAUGAUGGAUGGCUCGCCGGAGAAACCAGACGACGCAGCCCCUCCCCACGGCCGAACAGCUGCAGCCGACGGUCGCCGCCGGCGAGACGGCAGAUGGAAUGGAUCCUCCUGAGCAGCAUCUCCGACGCCAUGCCUGUUCCCCUCUCCUCUAGCUUUCCCCUGCUCCAAGUACUUGGGUGGGAACAGAAUAGAGCCGUCCAAGGUGUACUAGUAGCAGCAGCACCAGUACGCAAGGUAUCGCAUCAUCUUGGCUGGUCGCGGAGGGCGUCGGUGGGUGACCUCGUUUGAACCGACCGGGUCCUACGGACCGUUGACCGGUAGUACAACGUUAGUUUGAAACCUGAGUAGAUUUUUUUCUAGAAAAGUUUUUCUAGAAGAGUUGAAACUUAGGUGGAAGUGGAACGCGUUUGGCCUCUUCGCUGAUCACUUUUGUUUCCAGUCCGCGGACCAAGUAAUCAGGGCUCUUACUUGGGCGAAAACGAGGUAGCGACCAUCUACAGUAGGAUUAAGCGUGGCUUCCAAUCCAAGUUAAGUCCACAGGCUUAGUUAGCCAUGGUUGAUCGCAGCCAUGCAUUCCUUUGUGUGCACGGCUGGGUCAGAGACGGUCCAUUGCAAUACGCAAGUCACAGUAGUAGUGAAAGCGUAGAGGUUUUAGCUGGAAAAAAGAUGCCUCAAGCCGGGCCAUACUUUACUUGGCCCGCUGGCCAGGCCAGCCGCUUCUCUUGGAACUGGAAGAUGCCCUCACAAAACUCUCAUCACAUGGCCAACUUACAUAAACAUGUGAUUUAGAUUCUCCAGGGUGCUUGCAGAGUCUGCACAUCUGUGGAUAUACUCGUACAUCCGGAGGGGAAAACUUUGGAGUUUGGACAUGCCACACAGAAUUUUACCGACAGAAAAAAAAAGCUUUCGCGCGGUUGAUUCGGUUGCAUUUUUCAGCCGACCAGCAGCAGAUUCUCCUGUCGAAAUGCAGGAGAAAUGGUUGCUCUGCAACUCAAUUGUAGCUUUAUGUGUUUGGUAUCACCGAUGACUUCCGAUCCAAGACCUGAACUUCCCCUUUCGACGCGAUGACAGCAUACGGCCUGCAUGCAACAGAUUGCAAUGUCUUAGGCACUGCACUGUGUAACCACACACGGGCUGCUUUCUUGGUAUAAGAGCUUUUCUUUCUUUCUUGAAACAUGCUGGUUAAUAACUAGAUUUUACUAUAUAGUUUGUCUAGGUUGAGAAACUCACGUAGUGUUGCAAAUUAUCCCAUGCUCCACAACGCCAACAAUUUUCUCCAAGCCUUCCGCUACCUUUCCUGCAAGGUGACCAAGGCAAACCAGCUAAACCUCCAUUGGAGAAAUAGUUACUGAAUUAUCAUGUCGAAUUUAGAUCCUCAAAGAGUGGCAAGCUUCCAUUUAUACAUACCAAGAUCCUGGAUGGGGGUUGUGAAGAUAACAUCAAGUACGUGAUGGCCCUCCUUGGUAACCAGGGGAAAGUCGCCUCCUGAUGGACCGGCAGUUCCAAUGGAUGGCCUCCUCCAAACCUUCAGGCAAUGGUAUCAGUCAAAAGGUUUUUUAUUUUCUUUUGCCGGGUCGGCACGGACAGGUUUCAGGUUCAGAAGUCUAGUAUAAAUAAUUAUCAGAUUGAUGGGUGGUGUGCACCUCUGCGUCACCUAGGAACAGAUCAUCAAUCUCUUCAGCGGUGUCAAUCCAGUUUCCCUGAAAUGAUCUGCUCCUCUCUUAAUGAACAUCACACAAAACUGAUCUGGUAUCUGGUGGCAGAAGGUAGAGAUUGCUUACACUUUUGACCAAAACUGGAAUGGAACCCUCUAUGCCAUUCACAUAUUUGUCGUUGUCAAUGAUAAAGGCAACCUUGUCAGCCGAUUUAACAAUACCCUGUGGAUCCAGACCAAUCAAGAGUUGCAUAUAGGAAGAUGAGAUAAUCAUAUAGUAAUUGACAUAACAGAAGUAUCUGCACUGAACACAAGCAAAUAGUUAUAUAUAGAGUAUUUUUUUUUUCAGAAAACAGCGACAGUUCCAUUUUGAUGAACUUAUUACUAAGAUGCAUGCUUGUUCGACUUUUCAGGAAACAAAAGGACAAGUGAUAAUUUAGACAGACACAAGUCAGGGAGCCUGAAUGGGUUUAAGCAGUUUCCGAAGAGCUGGCUUAACAAAUUUCUGAAGAGUUGCGCUAACCUUCUCUUGUAUGAAAGAAGGCUGUCCGCUUUCGGUUUUCCCGCGCCCGAUGACAGCAGCGAGUGUGCCCUCUUCAAUUACAUCAGCAUCAGCGAAAGCAAAAUCAAUCUAUACGUCAGUGAGCAUGGUUUCAGCCAAAAUUCUUUUCUUUCCUGCCUGCAGGAUUUACAAUGGUGACAAGAGAAUAGAGCUUACUUGGGCGCCUUCCUCGUGGUUGCCGACCUUUAUCCCUGCUUUCUCUGCCUCACUUGCACAGAUCACAGACCUGGCUGAUCAACCCCAACAACCGAUUAGACGCAACCGAUGAUCAGAGUGAGCGAAUGCACGAGGGAUUUCAGAUGUUCAGGAUGCAAGUAAAGCUCAUGUGGCACAGAUGAACCACGGAGUGGCAGUGAAGCAAUUGCAACGCUUACGAGGGUAUGCCGACAAUGCCGGUCAGCGAGCCUCGCCGGAGGCGCGUGCCGAGGUACUGGACGGCGAGCCCCGACGCGGCGCCGGAUCCGAGCCCGACCACCAUGCCGCUCUUCACGAACUCGUCCACCUGAAUCAAUGCCGCAUAACAUGAGGUAAGUGCCUCAGCAUUCAGACGAAGCCGGCGGGCGGAAGAGUCAGCAAGUGUCUCCCUUAUUACCGUGAGCUUGGCGGCGUCGAAGAGGCGGACGACAUCGGCGUCGGCGGCGGCCGCGCAGGCCACCGAACGUCGCCCCUGGAGACACCGAGCGGCGUGGCGCUGCCGCGGCCGCGGUCGCCGGCACAGGGGGACCCGCGCGUGCGAGCUUGCCGCGAUGCUUGCUCUGGCGACUGCCUCCAUGGAGACGAGCGGCGAAUACGGGGGCUGCCUCUCUGCUCGAGCGUCAGCUUUGCCGGUGCAGCCUAGCGGUUUCGAGACCUGCCACACAGUUUGGGUAAGCACCAGCGCUUCAGAGGAUAAGGAGUGUGACAGCGCACGAGCAGCGCGACAAAUUCCAAGUGAAUAAGAUGUGUUGGGACUUGGGAACCCAUGUUUUUCUCUGUUCUGCCCACUCCAAAAAAAUUGUGAAGUUAUCUGUUUUUUUUAUAGAUUUUCAUCGUGGUAUAAUGAUACUUUUGUUAUCCUCAGUUUCAAGAGAUAACUGUAAAAACGUGUCACGUGUUAAUUAGUAGGUGCUAUUGAGCGAAAGUGUCACUCUAAUCUCGAGCGCAAAUGCACCCGCAUGGACACUAAAUUCCAAAAAAAUUGCAAAAAUAUAUUAAAAGACAUCUGAUUUUUUUGGAUGAACAUCAACAAGUUCUCCAACAUCCUGCAAAAUUUCUCCACUAAUAUAUAUAUAUAUAUAUAUUGAGGUUUGUGCCAAAAAAUGUGUGCUCCAAAAUGUGUCUUUUCGAGCCUUGAAUUUUGUUUUUUUUAUGUGCAGGCCUCCUCGGAUGUCAUUUCAAGGUGAAAUUUGCAUGAUGUCAGAAAAUGUUCAUCCACAAAAAUAUUCAGAUGUUUUUUUUAUUUUUUUACUAUUUUUCGUAAUGUACUAUUCAUGCAGGUGCAUUUGUGCUUGAGAUUAGAUUAUCCAUGUCCGUUAUUGAGUAGUUUUUUUUUUGUUUGCGGAAUCUUUAGCAAUUAGUACUUGUAUGUCUUUGUGUUGUACUCUUCAAGUCAAGCGUGCCUUACAUCUUAGCCAUUAUUGCUGCUGCCACAUGGGCGACAACAUCAACGAACCCUAGAAACCACUGUCAUCUACCUCAUGCGGCAGCCUAUAUGUACAACUUUGAACUUUUACAUGUUCCGGUUCAUAUGGGAAAGUGCAUUUAAUAGGUCUAAUAUAUGUCAUCUACCAGCUGCAUCUUGCUCUAAAUACACUUCUAUAUAUAACAAUGAAACUACUACUCAUGUAUACAUCAGAAGCGCCCCUUGUGAAUGGUUCAAACUAUGUGAUCAUUUAAGCUCUAUCAUUCUAGUACAUGUUAGUUUGUUCGAAUAGACCACCAAAACAAGACCAUACUCGAACAUGGAAUUUACAUCACUUGAGGUUGUCAGUGGAAGCGCCAUAUAUUGGCAUGAUGCACAAGGUGCGCGUUGUAACAUAUAUAGACAAGUUAACCGUUUUAUAAGUUACUCGGAAUAAGUGGUCUCAGGAAAAUAACUAUCAUAGUUUGGUCUUUGGAGACAUCAAGUUUGUCGCGCUUCACUUCUUUUAGUUUCUCUAUGGCAGAUGUAAGUUUUUCUCUCCAAUUUCCCNNNNNNNNNNNNNNNNNNNNNNNNNNNNNNNNNNNNNNNNNNNNNNNNNNNNNNNNNNNNNNNNNNNNNNNNNNNNNNNNNNNNNNNNNNNNNNNNNNNNNNNNNNNNNNNNNNNNNNNNNNNNNNNNNNNNNNNNNNNNNNNNNNNNNNNNNNNNNNNNNNNNNNNNNNNNNNNNNNNNNNNNNNNNNNNNNNNNNNNNNNNNNNNNNNNNNNNNNNNNNNNNNNNNNNNNNNNNNNNNNNNNNNNNNNNNNNNNNNNNNNNNNNNNNNNNNNNNNNNNNNNNNNNNNNNNNNNNNNNNNNNNNNNNNNNNNNNNNNNNNNNNNNNNNNNNNNNNNAUAGAUAUUUCUGCUAGUUUUUUUUGUUACAUCUUCUCCCGUACGUGACUUCUGAUCUAUUUUCUUUCUACCAAUCCUUGACUUCUCAUUGACUGGUGCACUGCAGAUUAGACUUCGACCCUGUGUCCCUGUGUAUCAUGACAUUACUGGCGUCAUAAACUUUGCUUCAGUCGUUAUUUCUUUGAACCACGGGGCUUGUAAUAAAAUUGCCCAUUCCUUGGCGGCAAUGGGAGUGGGGACGCAUGGACCUAGGCUACUAUGACAAGAAGGUGUGCCCGAUGAUGUUAUAGUGUUGGUGCUAAUGGAAUCAAGAGUUCCAUCUAAGAAAACAAAUUCUUGAACUUCCACUAUGUCUAAACAUUUCAUUUAAAUCAUUUCUAUUGAUGAUUUGUUUCAUACCGAUAACGAUUUUUGUUGCGCUGGAUUUGUCGGCUGGACGACCAUGGAAGUACUGUACACUAGGCAAGAGAAAUCUAGACAUUGUGUCGGUCACCAUACAUGGUGGUUGUGCAGGUGUCCUUUCACGGUGUACCUUGAUGUUGUCUUCAUCCAUCCACACUCUAUGGAUCCAUCAAAUGAUUGGAGGGUCAUUUUUAGGAUUAGUUCACAGAUGCAGGUGGCGGGGUGGCCCCAUAGGAUUUUUGACACUGUAGCAGUGCAAUGCUAGCGUGCACUGCAUGACUAAUCUUUUCGAAUCUGGUAAAAGCGGCAGGGAGCUUCUUCGAUCACCUUGGCUUUGCCAUACAACCACACAUCAGCUUUCCUACGUUGGUUGGGCCGAGCGGUUGUUGACAUUUUUUGACACAUCAGCUUUCAUUGGUUGGAUCUGACAACUAUAAGUCGUGUGUCAUUGACUAUGUGUUGGUUGUCUUGGAUAUUAGUAUGCCUCUGCUGAAAUCUAGCCUUCAGUUGUUGGAUCAGGAAGAUGGUAGUGAGGCGAACUCAGACAGUAAAAUCAUGUGUUCCGCCUUCAGUGACUGGUUCAAGAGAUGCUGGUGUGCUGGUGUUGAUACCUUGUUGAAUGUGUUGUCUUGGUGCCCUGACCCAUAUACUAAAUGUGUUGCCUCUUUUUAGUGGUUUAAAUUUAGUAAUGAAUUGCAAGAUUAACAUGCUGUCGUGUAAUCGGUGGUCUGCUUAAGCGAUGAUAACCGAAUUUUUUUUUUGCAUGUUGUUUUUGGCCUAGCGUCCUGAGCUUCGCAUGAAUAAAAUGAGUUAUGUUUAUCAAAUGAUUCUAAGGCUGGUAUAAUGAUACUUACGCGGUGUAAAAGUGUAUACAAGUCGUUAUUAAUAUUUGGUCACACUGGCUUGUAUCUAGUGAGUGAUGUAGAAGCAUAUUUCACUCAAGAUAGACACAGCUUGGCCCCGACCUUGGACACCAUGAUGGUAGGUUAAAAAAAAAUGAGUAAAAUAAGAGCAUCUACAGUCGGACUUGGCAAAUCCGGUCCCUCAAACCCGCGGACGCGUCCGGCCACGUUUGCAGCUCAUAAACUUCUACAACUAAAACGAUAUAAACAUUGAUGAGGAGGGGGGCCGGAAUCACCACUUCCUCGCCGGGCCUUUGCCCUUCCGGGUGCCGGCGCAGCUGUAGGCGUCCGCGUCUGGUGGAGGAUCUUGGUCGUCGGACGACGAGGUGCAUCUGUCACCGCCGUCGGAGUCGGAGUCUGAGAGGACAAUGAGCACCUUCAUCCGACGGACCGCCCUGUCCUGCUCCCGCUUCAGCCUUGCGACCCGAGCCUUCUCCGGUGCUGCCUCCUUCGCCUCGAGGUCCAAGUGCUCAAUGGCUAGCCGGAGCGCCUUGCCGUUCUUUCGUCGGAGGCGGCGAGCGCCCGUCUCCGCCGCGGCGGCGGUGCGCGGACUGCUCUGCCGCCUCCCUCUCCCGUGCACGCUGCCUCUUGCGGCGUGCAGUGCGCGCCUCCGACUCCGGAGUGCGCGUNNNNNNNNNNNNNNNNNNNNNNNNNNNNNNNNNNNNNNNNNNNNNNNNNNNNNNNNNNNNNNNNNNNNNNNNNNNNNNNNNNNNNNNNNNNNNNNNNNNNNNNNNNNNNNNNNNNNNNNNNNNNNNNNNNNNNNNNNNNNNNNNNNNNNNNNNNNNNNNNNNNNNNNNNNNNNNNNNNNNNNNNNNNNNNNNNNNNNNNNNNNNNNNNNNNNNNNNNNNNNNNNNNNNNNNNNNNNNNNNNNNNNNNNNNNNNNNNNNNNNNNNNNNNNNNNNNNNNNNNNNNNNNNNNNNNNNNNNNNNNNNNNNNNNNNNNNNNNNNNNNNGGAGUGCGCGUGCGGGCCCGGCGCUGGCCGCAUGCAGGAGCGGCCGAGGGGGGGGGGGGAGGAGACGACGCGGGGCUAGCGCAGACUGUGCUGACCGGGCCUCGCUGCGCGCGGGCCGAGAAGGUCUAGCACCGACGUCCGUGCUGCGCCGACGCGGGAGGUGCGGCGACGCUCCAGAUCCGGAGCUGCCGCCGGUCUCCACCUUGGACCGCUCCAGCGCAAUGUGAAGGGCCAUCUCCUCCUCGUAGUCGAGCUCCGAGCCAGAGUCGCUGCCGGAGCUGCUCAUGGUGGUGGAUGGGAUCGGAACCGGAGAGGGAGAGGAGUGGAUGGACGGAGCGAGAGAGGGAGAGAGUGAGCUAGGGUUUGAGGUCACCGCCCGGAUUGUGAUUUUUUGUGGGGUCCGUGGUGGGCCGGACCUGUCAGGUGGACGCGCCCGGGCGUGCCCGAGCAGCCCCAUAUCCGCCCUAUAUUUGGGUUGGAUGUGAGGGGUGCCGGUCAGCCCGGGCGUUUGAGGCCCGUUUGAGAGGUCUGAUUGGAUCAAAUUUUUGUGACCGGUCAUUGACCGGACAGUCUGCCCAUGCGUUUGAGACGGGUAUGAGAGGCCCGGCUGUAGAUGCUCUAAGAGGCUGAGUUCUUCUACUUGUCACCUAUCAUGGUUAAUAAUUGCACGGUACUUAGAGCCAUCAACAUGGCAGGGAGAGACUUGAAAGUAACUUUGCCAUGUGCAAAGCUUUAUUACCUCGGUUCCUUGACCAAGUAGUAUAAAUAAAGUAGCAUGAUCUUUGUAUUUCCCUAUCUAAAGGUCAGUUCACACACGGACACACGCAUGCACACAAUGUUGUGAGUCUUAAUUAAGCCCAUACCUCCUAGAUUCUUUGUUUGCCGAGUGUCUUGAAGAUAAAAUUAUUUUGCUGAUGCGAAUGUGGUGCAUGCAAGCACUACUUUGAAAUGAGUGGCAUCGUGAAAACAUCUUCUACAUCUUAGGUUGACAAGGCAUGGAUGGCUUACCUGGCUGGAUCCAUCAAGGUGAAACAUAGCCUCGGUAAAGCGCUCAAAACCAAUUUGCAUGGACGUGCAUCGGCUUCUUCCUCAUAAGAUGCGUCCCACAUCAGCUCUCCCGGCGCUGUCAUGGCUCUGGAAGAUGCACACGGUGACUGUCGCACUCAUUGCAUUCGGCAUCCCAACAUUCUAUAUUCUUAUUGAACUUAAUAACAGUAUUCACAAGGCCACUUGGCCCUUCCGGCACUGUCAUGGCUCUGGAAGAUGCACGCGGUGACUGUGGCACUGUCAUGGAGUGAUUUCUCUAACUUUUUUUCCGGGUUGAGUGAUUUCCCGACUUCCCGAAUCGGGUGCAUUUCUAUUAGUACAUUUUACACAUGUUUAGAAUUUGUGUUUAGAUUAAUAAUUGUGUAAUACAGAUCCAUAUAAACUUGUAGGAUUUUUUUGAAGGUUUUUGAAACUUUAAAAUGUAAUUUUUAAAUUAUUCAUAAUAAAAUGCUCCCAUGCACACCCGUGCUUCAAAAAUAGGCUUUCCUCGUACACCCGUUCUCAAAAGUUUUAAAUAGGGUAUUUAUGUCCAUCUAUAUAAAUCGAAAGAGUUAAGGAAUUAAUCCUCCAAUAUGGUUGCUCAUGGGCGUAUUACGCGCCCAACAUGUGUAUCCUCAGGGAGCUUCGAUGCCGAGUCCUUCCAGCAAGCGACUCAAGACGGGAUUGCAAAGCAGCGUCGAGUGACCGUACCGGCGAUGUGAGGAUCUAGCGCCGAUCUGACAUCAAGAUAAGGGAACUGACACCAAAUCGACUUUGCCUACCAUCUAUAAAAAAUGCAUACAACUCAAUUAUCAUCUAGUCCUGCCUCAUAAUAUAAAAGUGUUUUUGACACUAAUGUAGUGUAAAAAACGCUCUAAAAUUAUGAGACGGAGGGAGUAUCAAAUAUGCUCACUCUCUACAACUAUCAAAUAUGUUCAGUCUCAAUUACCAUCUAACGAAUAUGCUCAUUGUUUCAUAUCGCACACAAAAGCAUGACAGAAUUAUCACUGCUCAAUGCACACACAAGCAUGAUAAAAAUUCAGAGUUUGUCGUCGAUGUCGAGUUCAAAGGCGGACAACAAGGGGAGCAACAGAGAGCGCAGACAACGUCGAUGUCAAAACACUGCAGGAGCAUUGGCCAGUGAUAGUUCAGUCCGGAGGCGGCGGCUUGGACAUGGACAUGGAGGACGAACUAGGCAGCGGCAACCUGGAGAUGGCCGGGGGCAACUGGCGACACAGGGCGAGCAGAGCAUCGAGAUAGGCGGCGGCUUGCCAAGGUCGUCCAUGCACUACUAAGGAAAACCUUAUACACAGAAUCUUAGUAGCGCUUGAUAAAAUGAAGCGCUACUGCUACUUAGUAGUAGCGCGUGGAAGUAAAAGACGCUACUGCUAUCCUGUUAGCAGUAGCGCGUUUUAGCAAAACGCGCUGCUGCUAUGUUUGAACUGGGCGCACAUGGCUAGCCCCACUUAGCAGCAGUGCGUAUACUUACCCAGCGCUACUGCUAUUCUCCAUAGUAGUAGCGAUUUUCUCUAACCCGCGCUGCUACUACCCCUAACUUAUCGUCCCCGCGCGGUCGACCCUCUCACUCUCCCUCUCACUCACUCUCCCCCGCAACCCCCGUCGUCCGCCGCCGCCGCCGUUCCUCGACCACCGUCGUCGACAUCGCCGCGCCCGUCGUCCUGCUCCUCCGGAACUGAGGUAGUCCCUCCAUCCCUCCUCCCCUCCCUCCUCCUCCCACCGCGCCCUCCUCCCUCCUCCNNNNNNNNNNNNNNNNNNNNNNNNNNNNNNNNNNNNNNNNNNNNNNNNNNNNNNNNNNNNNNNNNNNNNNNNNNNNNNNNNNNNNNNNNNNNNNNNNNNNNNNNNNNNNNNNNNNNNNNNNNNNNNNNNNNNNNNNNNNNNNNNNNNNNNNNNNNNNNNNNNNNNNNNNNNNNNNNNNNNNNNNNNNNNNNNNNNNNNNNNNNNNNNNNNNNNNNNNNNNNNNNNNNNNNNNNNNNNNNNNNNNNNNNNNNNNNNNNNNNNNNNNNNNNNNNNNNNNNNNNNNNNNNNNNNNNNNNNNNNNNNNNNNNNNNNNNNNNNNNNNNNNNNNNNNNNNNNNNNNNNNNNNNNNNNNNNNNNNNNNNNNNNNNNNNNNNNNNUUACUAUUGUAUUAUGUAGUUUUUUAUUGUUUUUAGUAAGUGUUUAAUAGAAUUAGUAAGAAAAUUAAUAGAACUAGUUGAACUAGUUUAUUUUUAGUAAGAACUAGUUUAUUUUUAUUUAUAGUAAAUGCUUAGUUGAACUAGUUGAAUUAAUAGAGCUAGUUUAUUUUUAGUAAGAAAAUUUAGGUAUAUGAGAUUUGAUGAUCUAAUUAAAAUUUUACUAUAGAACUAGUUUAUUUUUAGUAAGAAAAUUAAUAGAACUAGUUUAUUUUGAACAUGUCACAUUUGUUGUUAUUUUUUUUAGUUAAAGCAAUUAUUCCCGCAUCGACGUCGACGAUGCCUAUCCCGCAUCCUCGUCAUCGACUCGGCGGAGGAGGCCUGCUUGAUCAGAGGGGACAUGUCUGGGACUGGGCUCCGUCGGGCUGGUACUAGGAGGCGCUACCUUCCGAGGGGCGCAGCUUGGUGAGGAGCCAGCCCGUCGUUAACCCGAACCUGCAACCGUGAGUACUCAUCCAAAGUACUCGCAAGCAAGGAGCUACAUUACAUAUGCAUGGGUAUAUGUGUAAAGGGCCAUAUCGGUGGACUGAACUGCAGAAUGCCAGAAUAAGAGGGGGAUAGCUAAUCCUGUCGAAGACUACGCUUCAGGCCACCUCCAUCUUGCAGCAUGUAGAAUAGAGUAGAUGGUAAGUUCACCAAGUAGCAUCGCAUAGCAUAAACCUCCCCGGCGAUCCCCUCCUCGUCGCCCUGUUAGAGAGCGAUCACCGGGUUAUAUCUGGCACUUGGAAGGGUGUGUUUUAUUAAGUAUCCGGUUCUAGUUGUCAUAAGGUCAAGGUACAACUCCGGGUCGUCCUUUUACUGAGGGACACGGCUAUUCGAAUAGAUAAACUUCCCUGCAGGGGUGCACCACAUAACCCAACACGCUCGAUCCCAUUUGGCCGGACACACUUUCCUGGGUCAUGCCCGGCCUCGGAAGAUCAACACGUCGCAGCCCCACCUAGGCACAACAGAGAGGUCAGCACGGCGGUCUAAAUCCUAUGGCGCAGGGGUCUGGGCCCAUCGCCUAUUGCACACCUGCACGUUGCGAACGCGGCCGGAAGCAGACCUAGCCUAGCAGGCGUUCCAGUCCAAUCCGGCGAGCGCCGCUCAGUCACUGACGUCAAGAAGGCUUCGGCUGAUACCACGACGUCGAGUGCCCAUAACUGUUCCCGCGUAGUUGGUUAGUGCGUAUAGGCCAAAUGGCCAGACUCAGAUCAAAUACUAAGAACUCGUUAAGCGUGUUAAGUAUCCACGAACGCCGACCAAGGCCAGGCCUGUUGGAAAUAUGCCCUAGAGGCAAUAAUAAAUGGUUAUUAUUAUAUUUCUUUGUUCAUGGUAAUUGUCUAUUAUUCAUGCUAUAAUUGUAUUGUCCGGAAAUCGUAAUACAUGUGUGAAUACAUAGACCACAACCUGUCCCUAGUAAGCCUCUAGUUGACUAGCUCGUUGAUCAACAGAUAGUCAUGGUUUCCUGACUAUGAACAUUGGAUGUCAUUGAUAACGGGAUCACAUCAUUAGGAGAAUGAUGUGAUGGACAAGACCCAAUCCUAAGCAUAGCAUAAAAGAUCGUGUAGUUUCGUUUGCUAGAGCUUUUCCAAUGUCAAGUAUCUUUUCCUUAGACCAUGAGAUUGUGCAACUCCCGGAUACCGUAGGAGUGCUUUGGGUGUGCCAAACGUCACAACGUAACUGGGUGACUAUAAAGGUGCAUUACGGGUAUCUCCGAAAGUGUCUGUUGGGUUGGCACAGAUCGAGACUGGGAUUUGUCACUCCGUGUAAACGGAGAGGUAUCUCUGGGCCCACUCGGUAAUGCAUCAUCAUAAUGAGCUCAAUGUGACUAAGGCGUUAGUCACGGGAUCAUGCAUUGCGGUACGAGUAAAUAGAUUUGCCGGUAACGAGAUUGAACAAGGUAUUGGGAUACCGACGAUCGAAUCUCGGGCAAGUAACAUACCGUUUGACAAAGGGAAUUGCAUACGGAUUGAUUGAAUCCUCGACACCGUGGUUCAUCCGAUGAUAUCAUCGUGGAACAUGUUGGAGCCAACAUGGGUAUCCAGAUCCCGCUGUUGGUUAUUGACCGGAGAGGCGUCUCGGUCAUGUCUGCAUGUCUCCCGAACCCGUAGGGUCUACACACUUAAGGUCCGGUGACGCUAGGGUUGUAGAGAUAUAUGUAUGCGGAAACCCGAAAGUUGUUCGGAGUCCCGGAUGAGAUCCCGGACGUCACGAGAGGUUCCGGAAUGGUCCGGAGGUAAAGAUUUAUAUAUGGGAAGUCUUAUUUUGGUCGCCGGAAAAGUUUCGCGCUUUAUCGGUAUUGUACCGGGAGUGCCGAAAGGGGUACGGGGGUCCACCAAGGGGGUCCACCAGCCCCGGGGGGCCACAUGGGCUGUAAGGGGUGCACCUUGGCCUAUAUGGACCAAGGGCACCAGCCCCAAGAGGCCCAUGCGCAAGAGAUAAGAAAAAAGGAAGAGUCCUAAAGGGGGAAGGCACCUCCGAGGUGCCUUGGGGGGGAAGGACUCCCCCCUGGCCGCACCCUUCCUUGGAGGAAGGGGCAAGGCUGCGCCCCCCCUCUCCCUUGACCCUAUAUAUAGUGGGGGGAAGGGAGGGCAGCAACAUCUAAGCCUUGGGCGCCUCCCUCCUCCCCUGCAACACCUCUCUCUCUCUCUCUCUCGCAGAAGCUUGCGAAGCCCUGGCGGAGACCCGCUACAUCCACCACCACGCCGUCGUGCUGUUGGAUCUCCAUCAACCUCUCCUCCCCCCUUGCUGGAUCAAGAAGGAGGAGACGUCGCUGCACCGUACGUGUGUUGAACGCGGAGGUGUUAUCCGUUCGGCACUCGGUCAUCGGUGAUUUGGAUCACGGCGAGUACGACUCCGUCAUCCACGUUCAUUGGAACGCUUCCGCUCGCGAUCUACAAGGGUAUGUAGAUCCACUCCUUUCCCCUCGUUGCUAGUAGACUCCAUAGAUGCAUCUUGGGGAGCGUAGGAUUUUUUUUUAAAAUUAUGCUACGAUUCCCAACAGUGGCAUCAUGAGCCAGGUCUAUGCGUAGUUACUAUGCACGAGUAGAACACAAAGUAGUUGUGGGCGUUGAGUUUGCCAAUUCUUCUUGCCGCUACUAGUCUUUUCUUGUUUCGGCGGCAUUGUAGGAUGAAGCGGCCCGGACCGACCUUACACGUACUCUUACGUGAGACGGGUUCCACUGACUGACAUGCACAAGUUGCAUAAGGUGGCUAGCGGGUGUCUGUCUCUCCUACUUUAGUCGGAACGGAUUCGAUGAAAAGGGUCCUUAUGAAGGGUAAAUAGAAAUUGGCAAAUCACGUUGUGGUCAUACGUAGGUAAGAAACGUUCUUGCUAGAAACCUACAAACCACGUAAAAACUUGCAACAACAAUUAGAGGACGUCUAACUUGUUUUUGCAGCAAGUGCUAUGUGAUGUGAUAUGGCCAGAAGAUGUGAUGAAUGAUAUAUAUGAUGUAUGAGAUUGAUCAUAUUCUUGUAAUAGGAAUCACGACUUGCAUGUCGAUGAGUAUGACAACCGGCAGGAGCCAUAGGAGUUGUCUUUAUUAUUUUGUAUGACCUGCGUGUCAUUGAAUAACGCCAUGUAAAUUACUUUACUUUGUUGCUAAACGCGUUAGCCAUAGAAGUAGAAGUAAUCGUUGGCGUGACGACUUCAUGAAGACACAAUGAUGGAGAUCAUGAUGAUGGAGAUCAUGGUGUCAUGCCGGUGACAAAGAUGAUCAUGGUGCCCCGAAGAUGGAGAUCAAAGGAGCAUAAUGAUAUUGGCCAUAUCAUGUCACUAUUUGAUUGCAUGUGAUGUUUAUCAUGUUUUUGCAUCUUAUUUGCUUAGAACAACGGUAGUAAGUAAGAUGAUCCCUUAUAAUAAUUUCAAGAAAGUGUUCACCCUAACUGUGCACCGUUGCGAAGGUUUGUCGUUUCGAAGCACCACGUGAUGAUCGGGUGUGAUAGAUUCUUACGUUCGAAUACAACGGGUGUUGACGAGCCUAGCAUGUACAGACAUGGCCUCGGAACACACGCAAUACACUUAGGUUGACUUGACGAGCCUAGCAUGUACAGACAUGGCCUCGGAACACGGAGGACCGAAAGGUCGAGCAUGAGUCGUAUAGAAGAUACGAUCAACAUGGAGAUGUUCACCGAUCUUGACUAGUCCGUCUCACGUGUUGAUCGGACACGGCCUAGUUGAACUCGUAUCAUGUUUCACUUAGAUGACUAGAGGGAUGUCUAUCUGAGUGGGAGUUCAUAAUCAGAUGAACUUCAUUAUCAUGAACAUAGUCAAAAAGGUAUUUGCAAAUUAUGUCAUAGCUUGUGCUUUAGUUCUACUGAUUAAGAUAUGUUCCUAGAGAAAAUUUAGUUGAAAGUUGGUAGUAGCAAUUAUGCGGACUGGGUCCGUAAACUGAGGAUUGUCCUCAUUGCUGCACAGAAGGCUUAUGUCCUUAAUGCACCGCUCGGUGUGCUGAACCUCAGCGUCGUUUGUAGAUGUUACGAAACAUCUGACAUACACGUUUUGAUGACUACGUGAUAGUUCAAUGCGUAAUGCUAACGGUUUAGAAUUGUGGCACAAGAGACGUUUUUGAAACGUCGCAGAACAUAUGAGAUGUUCCGAAGACUGAAAUUGGGAUUUCAGACUAGUGCCCAUGUCAAGAGGUAUGAGACCUCUGACAAGUUUCUUAAGCCUGCAAACUAAGGGAGAAAAGCUCAAUCGUUGAGCGUGUGCUCAGAUUGUCUGAGUGUCACAAUCGCUUGAAUCGAGUGGGAGUUAAUCUCCCAGAUGAGAUAGUGAUAGUUCUCCAUAGUCACUGCCACCAAGCUAGUAGAGCUUCGUGAUGAACUAUAACAUAUCAAGGAUAGUUAUGAUGAUCCUUGAGCUAUUCGCGAUGUUUGACACCGCGAGAGUAGAAAUCAAGAAGGAGCAUCAAUUGUUGAUGGUUAGUAGAACCACUAGUUUAAGAAGGGCAAGGGCAAAAGGGAUACUUCAUGAAACAGCAAGUCGUUUGCUGCUCUAGUGAAGAAUCCCAAGGUUGAACCCAAACCCGAGACUAAGUGCUUCUGUAAUGAGAGGAACGGUCGCUGAAGCAGUACUACCCUAGAUACUUGGUAGAUGAGAAGGCAGGCAAGGUCGACAAAGUAUAUUGGAUAUACGUUAUAUGAAUGUGUACUUUACUAGUACUCCUAGCAGCACCAGGGUAUUAGAUACUGGUUCGGUUGCUAAGUGUUAGUAACUCGAAAUAAAAGCUGCGGAAUAAAUGGAGACUAGCUAAAGGUGAGAUGACGAUGUGCGUUGGAAGUGUUUCCAAGGUUGAUGUGAUCAAGCAUCGCAUGCUCCCUCUACUAUCGAGAUUUGGUGUUUGCGUUGAACAUGAUUGGAUUAUGUUUAUCGCAAAACGGUUAUUCAUUUAAGGAGAAUAAUGGUUACUCUGUUUAUUUGAAUAAUACCUUCAAUGGUCUUGCACCUAAAAUGAAUCUCGAUCGUAGUGAUACACAUGUUCAUGCCAAAAAGAUAUAAGAUAGUAAUGAUAGUACCACAUACUUGUGGCACUGCCACUUGAGUCAUAUUGGUAUAGAACGCAUGAAGAAGCUCCAUGUGGAUGGAUCUUUGGACUCACUCGUUUUGAAAAGAUUGAGACAUGCGAACCAUGUCUAUUGGUAUAUAUGCAUGAAGAAACUCCAUGCAGAUGGGUCAUUUGGACUCACUUGAUUAUGAAUCACUUGAGACAUGCAAAUCAUACCACAUGGGCAAGAUGACUGAAAGUCCUCGUUUUCAGUAAGAUGGAACAAGAGAGCAACUUAUUGGAAGUAAUACAUUUUGAUGUACGCAGUCCAAUGAGUGCUGAGGCAUGCAGUGGAUAUCGUUAUGUUCUUACUUCACAGAUGAUUUGAGUAGAUGCUGAGAAUAUUUACUUGAUGAAACACAAAUCUGAAUUAUUGAAAGGUUCAAGUAAUUUCAGAGUGAAGUUGAAGAUCGUCGUGACAAGAGGAUAAAAUGUCUGUGAUAUGAUCAUAGAGAUGAGUAUCUGAGUUACGAGUUUGGCACACAAUUAAGACAUUGUGGAAAGUGUUUCACAAUUAAUACCGCCUGGAACACCAUAGUGUGAUGGUGUGUCCGGACAUCAUAGCUGCACCCUAUUGGAUAUGGUGCAUACCAUGAUGUCUCUUAUCGAAUUACCACUAUCGUUUAUGGGUUAGGCAUUAGAGACAACCACAUUCACUUUAAAAGGGGCACCACGCAAUUCCGUUGAGACGACACCGUUUAGAGAAACCUAAGUUGUCGUUUCUUAAAAGUUUGGGGCUGUGAAGCUUAUGUGAAAAAGUUUCAGGCUGAUAAGCUCGAACCCAAAGCGGACAAAUGCAUCUUCAUAGAAUACCCAAAACAGUUGGGUAUACCUCCUAUUUCAGAUCUGGAAGCAAAAGUAAUUGCUUCUAGAAACGAGUCCUUUCUCGAGGAAAAGUUUCUCUCGAAAGAAUUGAGUGGGAGGAUGGUGGAGACUUGAUAAGGUUAUUGAACCGUCGCUUCAACUAGUGUGUAGCAGGGCACAGGAAGUUGUUCCUGUGGCACCUACACCAAUUGAAGUGGAAGCUUAUGAUAGUGAUCAUGAAACUUCGGAUCAAGUCACUACCAAACCUCGUAGGACGACGAGGAUGCGCACUACUUCAGAGUAAUGCGUGAUCCUGUCUUGGAAGUCAUGUUGCUAGACAACAAUGAACCUACGAGCUAUGGAGAAGCGGUGGUGGGCCCAUAUUCCGACGAAUGGCUCGAGGCCAUGAAAUCCGAGAUAGAAUCCAUGUAUCAGAACAAAGCAUGGACUUUGGUGAACUUGCCCGAUGAUCGGCAAGCCAUUGAGAUAAAUGGAUCUUUAAGAAGAAGACGGACAUGGACGGUAAAGUUACCGUAUAUGAAGCUCGACUUGUGGCAAAGAGUAUUUUCACAAGUUCAAGGAGUUGACUACGAUGAGUUUUUCUCAUCCGUAGCGAUGCUUAGGUCCGUCGGAAUCAUGUUAGCAUUAGCUACAUUUAUGAAAUCUGGCAGAUGGAUGUCAAAACAAGUUUCCUUACCAGUUUUCGUGAGGAAAGGUUGUAUGUGAUACAAUCAGAAAGGUUUUGUCGAUCCUAAGGAUGCUAAAAGGUAUGCUAGCUCCAGCGAUCCUUCCAUGGAUUAGAGCAAGCAUCUCGGAGUCAGAAUAUACGCUUUGAUGGGGUGAUCAAAGUUUUUGGGUUUAUACAAAGUUUGUUAGAAACUUGUAUUUAUAAUAAAGUGAGUGGGAGCGCUACAACAUUUCUGAUAAGUAUAUGUGAAUGACAUAUUGUUGAUCCGAAAUGAUGUAAAAUUUCUGGAAAGCAUAAAGGGUUGUUUGAAAGGAGUUUUUCAAAGGAAGACCUGGAUAAAGCUACUUACAUAUUGGGCAUAGAUAGAUCAAGACGCCUGAUGAUACUUUCAAAAGACAGCACACCUUGACAUGAUUUUGAAAGAGUUCAAAAUAGAUCAGCAAAGAAGGAGUUCUUGGCUGUGUUACAAGGUGUGAGUAUUGAGUGAGACUCAAGACCUGACCACAGCAGAAGAUAGAGAAAGGACGAAGGUCGUCCCCUAUGCUUUAGACAUAGGCUCUAUAGUAUGCUAUGCUGUGUACCGCACAUGUAGUGUGCCUUGCCAUGAGUUGGUCAAGAGGGUACAAUGGUGAUCCGGGAAAGGAUCUCAUGACAGCGGUCGAACUUAUCCUUAGCACCUAGUGGAUUAAGGAAUUUUCUCGAUUAUGGAGGUGGAAAGGAGUUCGUCGUAAAGGGUUACGUCGAUGCGAACUUUGACACUAAUCCGGAUGACUCUGAGUAGUAAACCGGAUUCGUAUAGUAGAUCAAUUAUUUGAAAUGGCUCCAAAUAGCGCGUGGUAGCAUCCACAAGAUGACAUAGAUAUUCGUAAAGCACACGGUUCUGAAAGGUUCAGACCCGUUGACUAAUAACCUCUCUCACAAGCAUAACAUGACCAAACCAGAACACAUUGAGUGAUAAUUACAUAGUGAUGUGAACUAGAUCGUUGACUCUAGUAAACUCUUUAGAUGUUGGUCACAUGGUGAUGUGACCAGUGAGUGUUAAUCACAUGGUGAUGUGAACUAGAUUAUUGACUCUAGUGCAAGUGGGAGACUGUUGGAAAUAUGCCCUAGAGGCAAUAAUAAAUGGUUAUUAUUAUAUUUCUUUGUUCAUGGUAAUUGCCUAUUAUUCAUGCUAUAAUUGUAUUGUCUGGAAAUCGUAAUACAUGUGUGAAUACAUAGACCACAACCUGUCCCUAGUAAGCCUCUAGUUGACUAGCUCGUUGAUCAACAGAUAGUCAUGGUUUCCUGACUAUGGACAUUGGAUGUCAUUGAUAACGGGAUCACAUCAUUAGGAGAAUGAUGUGAUGGACAAGACCCAAUCCUAAGCAUAGCAUAAAAGAUCGUGUAGUUUCGUUUGCUAGAGCUUUUCCAAUGUCAAGUAUCUUUUCCUUAGACCAUGAGAUCGUGCAACUCCCGGAUACCGUAGGAGUGCUUUGGGUGUGCCAAACGUCACAACGUAACUGGGUGACUAUAAAGGUGCAUUACGGGUAUCUCCGAAAGUGUCUGUUGGGUUGGCACGGAUCGAGACUGGGAUUUGUCACUCCGUGUAAACGGAGAGGUAUCUCUGGGCCCACUCGGUAAUGCAUCAUCAUAAUGAGCUCAAUGUGACUAAGGCGUUAGUCACGGGAUCAUGCAUUGCGGUACGAGUAAAGAGAUUUGCCGGUAACGAGAUUGAACAAGGUAUUGGGAUACCGACGAUCGAAUCUCGGGCAAGUAACAUACCGUUUGACAAAGGGAAUUGCAUACGGAUUGAUUGAAUCCUCGACACCGUGGUUCAUCCGAUGAUAUCAUCGUGGAACAUGUUGGAGCCAACAUGGGUAUCCAGAUCCCGCUGUUGGUUAUUGACUGGAGAGGCGUCUCGGUCAUGUCUGCAUGUCUCCCGAACCCGUAGGGUCUACACACUUAAGGUCCGGUGACGCUAGGGUUGUAGAGAUAUAUGUAUGCGGAAACCCGAAAGUUGUUCGGAGUCCCGGAUGAGAUCCCGGACGUCACGAGAGGUUCCGGAAUGGUCCGGAGGUAAAGAUUUAUAUAUGGGAAGUCUUAUUUUGGUCGCCGGAAAAGUUUCGCGCUUUAUCGGUAUUGUACCGGGAGUGCCGAAAGGGGUACGGGGGUCCACCAAGGGGGUCCACCAGCCCCGGGGGGCCACAUGGGCUGUAAGGGGUGCACCUUGGCCUAUAUGGACCAAGGGCACCAGCCCCAAGAGGCCCAUGCGCAAAAGAUAAGAAAAAAGGGAGAGUCCUAAAGGGGGAAGGCACCUCCGAGGUGCCUUGGGGAGGAAGGGGCAAGGCUGCGCCCCCCCUCUCCCUUGGCCCUAUAUAUAGUGGGGGGAAGGGAGGGCAGCAACAUCUAAGCCUUGGGCGCCUCCCUCCUCCCCUGCAACACCUCUCUCUCUCUCUCGCAGAAGCUUGCGAAGCCCUGGCGGAGACCCGCUACAUCCACCACCACGCCGUCGUGCUGUUGGAUCUCCAUCAACCUCUCCUCCCCCCUUGCUGGAUCAAGAAGGAGGAGACGUCGCUGCACCGUACGUGUGUUGAACGCGGAGGUGCUGUCCGUUCGGCACUCGGUCAUCGGUGAUUUGGAUCACGGCGAGUACGACUCCGUCAUCCACGUUCAUUGGAACGCUUCCGCUCGCGAUCUACAAGGGUAUGUAGAUCCACUCCUUUCCCCUCGUUGCUAGUAGACUCCAUAGAUGCAUCUUGGGGAGCGUAGGAUUUUUUUUUAAAUUAUGCUACGAUUCCCAACAAGGCCCACCUCUCUCCUAGGUGGUCUCAACCUGCCCUGUCGCUCCGCCACAAAGUAACGGUCGGGGGCCGUCGGGAACCCAGGCCCACCUCUACCGGGAUGGAGCCACCUGCCCCUUCAGCCCCCAUCUCCGAACAGUAUCAUAAGUAAUGUAACAGUAUAAAGUAUAAAACAUAUGCCCGUGAUCACCUCCCGAAGUGAUCACGGCCCAGUAGUAUAGCAUGGCAGACGGACAAGAGGUAGGGCCACUGAUGGAACACUAGCAUCCUACACUAAGCAGUAGGAUAGCAGGUAAGGGUAACAACUGUAGCAACAAUGACAGGCUAUGCAUCAGAAUAGGAUUAACCGAAAGCAGUAACAUGCUACACUACUCUAAUGCAAGCAGUAGAGAGAAGGAAUAGGCGAUAUCUGGUGAUCAAGGGGGGGCUUGCCUGGAAGCUCAGCCGAGAAGGAGGGGUCGUCAACACCGUAGUCGAACUGGGGGUCGCCGGCAGUCUCGGGGUCUACCGGAAAGAAAUAACGGAUGGGGAACACAAUAAAUAAUAGAGCAAUCAAAGCAACACAAAGCAUAACAUGGCAAUACGCGGUGCUAGGGUGACCUAACGCGGUACUAGGCCAUACUGGCGAAGGGGGGAAAACAUCCGGGAAAGUAUUCCCGGUGUUUCGCGUUUUCGGACAGAUGAACCGGAGGGGGAAAGUUGCGAGUUUGCUAUACUAAGGAUGUGUGGCGGACGAACGGGCUACAUAAUCAGAUUCGUCUCAUCGUUCUGAGCAACUUCCAUGUACAAAGUUUUUUGAUCCGAGCUACGGUUUAUUUUAUAUUAAUUUUAAAAGAUUUAAAUCAAUUUUAGGAUUUAUUUAAUUAUUUUAAAUCAACAUUAUCCAGAACAGUGCAUGCUGACGUCAUCAUGACGUCAGCAGUCAACAGAGGUGUUGACUGGUCAAACUAACGUGUGGGUCCCAGCUGUCAUAGACUGUUAGUACUAACUAAUAGAUUAGAUAUUUUAAGUAGUUAAAUUAGAUUAACUAAGUUUAAUUAGUUUAACUAAUCAGAAUUAAUUAAUAUUUUUAUUUACUUAUUAUUAUUAUUAUUUAAUUCUUUUUUAAUCGUUCUAGGCGCGGGGCCCCCUUGUCAUUGGGCCUAGUGGGCGUCGGGCGCAACCUGAACUGGCGCAGCGGGCGCCCGUCCNNNNNNNNNNNNNNNNNNNNNNNNNNNNNNNNNNNNNNNNNNNNNNNNNNNNNNNNNNNNNNNNNNNNNNNNNNNNNNNNNNNNNNNNNNNNNNNNNNNNNNNNNNNNNNNNNNNNNNNNNNNNNNNNNNNNNNNNNNNNNNNNNNNNNNNNNNNNNNNNNNNNNNNNNNNNNNNNNNNNNNNNNNNNNNNNNNNNNNNNNNNNNNNNNNNNNNNNNNNNNNNNNNNNNNNNNNNNNNNNNNNNNNNNNNNNNNNNNNNNNNNNNNNNNNNNNNNNNNNNNNNNNNNNNNNNNNNNNNNNNNNNNNNNNNNNNNNNNNNNNNNNNNNNNNNNNNNNNNNNNNNNNNNNNNNNNNNNNNNNNNNNNNNNNNNNNNNNNNNNNNNNNNNNNNNNNNNNNNNNNNNNNNNNNNNNNNNNNNNNNNNNNNNNNNNNNNNNNNNNNNNNNNNNNNNNNNNNNNNNNNNNNNNNNNNNNNNNNNNNNNNNNNNNNNNNNNNNNNNNNNNNNNNNNNNNNNNNNNNNNNNNNNNNNNNNNNNNNNNNNNNNNNNNNNNNNNNNNNNNNNNNNNNNNNNNNNNNNNNNNNNNNNNNNNNNNNNNNNNNNNNNNNNNNNNNNNNNNNNNNNNNNNNNNNNNNNNNNNNNNNNNNNNNNNNNNNNNNNNNNNNNNNNNNNNNNNNNNNNNNNNNNNNNNNNNNNNNNNNNNNNNNNNNNNGGCGAGGUGUGGGGCUCCGGGCGGCGGCGACGGCGAGGUGGUCCUCCUAGUGGCGCGAUGCGGCGUCAAGCCCGCUCCCGAUUGGAUCGGGGGGAGAGGGAGAGUGGGUGCGCGAGUGGGGGAAAGUGGGAGCGAGUAGGGAUGGGCGUUAGGGUUUCGGGGGGUUAAUGGGUGCGUGGGGGUUGGGCCAGGCUGGGACGGUGGGCUGGCUGGCUGGGCCAUUUGGCCCAGUUGGCCAGGGGGUCUCCCUCAUUUGUUUUUUCUGUUUUGUUUUUCUUUCUCUUUUUAUUUAUUUUUCUUUUCUAUUUUUGCUCAUUUUAAAUAUAUAGGCCUUGUAUAAAAACAUGGUUUCUACAUGACAAAUAGUUAGGGAAUAUUUUCAACACAUCAAACAUUUUAGUUUUGACUUUUGAAAACUUUAAUUAUUUUAACUUUAGUUCAAAUUUUGAAUUUGAAUCCGUUUCGAACUAACGCAAGAUUAUCAGCAGUAACCGAGGUGAUGAGGCAUCAUUAACGCGGGAUUACUGUAGCCUAAUUAUCCGGGCGUCACAAAUCUCCUCCACUACAAGAAAUCUCAUCCCGAGAUUUAGGAGCGGGAGUAAGGGGGAAUGGAUUUGGUUACGAAAUUUUGACGAGUGUCGUCGGUCUUGGUUGCUCUUCUCGAAGAGGUCAAUCCAUUACGUUGAUGUCUUCAUUUCUCUGCUUCAGGUCAUCACACUACGGGAAACAGCUAAUUUGCCAUCAGGAGGGGUCUUUGCCGUCAGCUUUUCGUCGGGCAGACGACAACGAGUGGGUUUGCCGUCAUCAGUAGACGGCAAAGAAAAACUGACGGUAAAAUAAACUUUGCCGUCUGCGGAAAAAAAUACAUACGACAAAGAGCUGACUUUGCCGUCUGCAACAAAAAUCAUAGACGGCAAAGAAUCUUUGCCGUCUGUGUUUUUUUGGCAGACGGCAAAUAUUCUUUGCCGUCUAUAUUUUUUUGUCAGACGGCAAAAUAAGCUCUUUGCUGUCUGUAUUUAUUUUCACAGACGGCAAAGAAGAAACAAAUCACGCGGAUCAAUCACACGGAUCGAUGAGUUGGCAAUAUCUCAGACGCACAUCCCACACCAUUGGUCGCAUGCCUCCACCCACCCCACGAUGCACGCACCCCCACACAUGCCCCCACCCACGAGGCCACGAGCCUACCUGCCCCACCCACGACUCCCAUCUCCUCUCCUGUGCUCCCUCUUCUCUCCACCGGAUCUCCACCUCCCCGAGCAGUAGCACACCACCGGCCAGUGCCUUCCUCUCUCCUGCUCCCUCCUCCCUAGCUACGUCUCCCCUGAGCAGCCACAGGCCGCCGGGCUGAGCCCAGCGCCCNNNNNNNNNNNNNNNNNNNNNNNNNNNNNNNNNNNNNNNNNNNNNNNNNNNNNNNNNNNNNNNNNNNNNNNNNNNNNNNNNNNNNNNNNNNNNNNNNNNNNNNNNNNNNNNNNNNNNNNNNNNNNNNNNNNNNNNNNNNNNNNNNNNNNNNNNNNNNNNNNNNNNNNNNNNNNNNNNNNNNNNNNNNNNNNNNNNNNNNNNNNNNNNNNNNNNNNNNNNNNNNNNNNNNNNNNNNNNNNNNNNNNNNNNNNNNNNNNNNNNNNNNNNNNNNNNNNNNNNNNNNNNNNNNNNNNNNNNNNNNNNNNNNNNNNNNNNNNNNNNNNNNNNNNNNNNNNNNNNNNNNNNNNNNNNNNNNNNNNNNNNNNNNNNNNNNNNNNNNNNNNNNNNNNNNNNNNNNNNNNNNNNNNNNNNNNNNNNNNNNNNNNNNNNNNNNNNNNNNNNNNNNNNNNNNNNNNNNNNNNNNNNNNNNNNNNNAGCCGCGUGCUGAGACCAGCGCCCGCCCGUCCCUAAGCAGACGCCGCGGCCAGCACCCUCCCGCCGUCCGUCCACCACCGUGCCCAACACCCUCCCACCCGUCCGUCCGCCCCCGAGCAGCCGCAUGCCGCGGCCAGCGCCCUCCCGCCGUCCGUCCACCGCCACGCCCAACACCCUCCUGCCCGUCCAUCCGCCACCUCGCCAGCGCCGCGUGAAGGUCCACCUCGCGAGCUCAUCUUCACCUACCGGCCGUGCGCACCACAGCUCCUCCGGCCGGGCACCCGAGCCCGUCCACACUCCGAGCUCCGCCGCUAGAGCAGCCGUGCGCUCCGCCUCGCGAGCUCCGCUGGUCGAGCACCGCCCAUCCCUGACCUCCCUCGCGUGCCUCGCCGUGGUGUCGGAGCGAGACAGCUCCCGAGCGCGGCUAGGCCGGAGCGACACGGUUGAGCAGGGCCGGGCGACGGCGCACCGAGCAGAGCAGUCCGGCGAGCGUUGGGGCCGGGAGACGGCGCACCGAGAAGAGCAGUCCGGCGAGCGUUGGGGCCGGGCGGCGGGGCGAACAGGGCACUGCAGGGGAGAAGAAGGACUCGAUUGCUUUUUAGUUUUACUUUUUAGGGUUCUUUGUGUUAAUUUCUAGGACUAUUCUGUAGCUUUAGUUUUUUUGGGGUCAUGUUUGCAUUUUGUACUAGACUAUCAUGGAAUGAAAGCACUAAACAAGGCCGAGCCUUUGCGUGUUAAAUGAAGAAGAAGAAACAUAGGCAGUGCACUGCGUGCGUUUACCGCAUCCCUCGAGUCAACACUGUUGUGUUUUUUUUAAUUUGACCCAUUUCUUCGCCGUCUGUGAUAUACGAGGCUGACGGCAAAUACACGAAUAGCUGACGGUAAAGAUGUAGUAUGGCUGACAGCAAAAGUACUUUUCUUUGCCGUCUGUGAUUUAUAAGGCUGAUGGCGAAGCAGAUUUGGCCGACGGCAAAGUCUUUGCCGUCUGUCGGAUGAAAAGCUGACGGCAAAGUAUUCUUUGCCGUCUGACUUUGCCGUCUGCUUCUUGACGGCAAAAUCUUUGCCGUCUGGAUUUAGGUCUUUGCCGUCUGUGAUCCACAGAUGGCAAAUUACCUGUUUCCUGUAGUGUCAUGAUGAAGUCGGCAUCCUUUCUUCGGGAACUCCAUCGUACUUACGAAAGAAUAAAGGGGUGGGUGUUCCAGGAGAAUGGAUCUCCACAAGGUUGACUAUCUGGUCGAUAACAUCGGGGAAGGUGGCGGAAAGUAACUCUCGAAUUGGAACUUAAGAAAACACCGAGAGCAAGUAAGACGGUGCAAUAAGAAGUUUUGAGAGGAUAGGCAAUCGUUCAUUGCCUGAAACAAAACGUGAUAGGGUUCAUAGCAAUGGGAAUAAGUAUUGUGUCUGAUACCAGAAUUGGUGAUCUUUCGGAAGGUGGCUCAUGAAUUACAUACGAAGCCAAACACGAGGAUUGACUUUGGGAACAGGGGUGUAUAGGAGAGUCAGGUUUCGAUCAUGUGGAACUGUGGGUUAUGGGCCCACCAUGUGGGUUAAAAGUAGGAAGGGCGGUGACAUCUUGCACAAUCAUGUAAGCAAGGCAUGUCAGAGGAUAACCGGUCAGUUAUGUUGGCAGCAUCGUUGGUACCAAGGGCGAGGGACGAAGAGAACUAUUUUCCUGCUCGUUGAACGAGGCGGACCAAUAAGGCAAAGUUCUCGUCCAGCCGUGGUUACCCGAAUGUCAUCAACAAUAGUAAUAGGGUCUUACUGACAGAGUGGUACAAUGAGGUGUUUACAUAAGCAGGGAAUAUUACUGCUUAUAUGAUAUAGAUCACAAGAAGGGUUAAACAAACCAACGGAAAGGAAAAGUGAUUAUUAGUUUUAAACAGAACAAUGGAAAGGAAAAUGUAUACACGCACAUAUUUCAGGGGUAUAUCCUUCCCAAGGACAAGCGGAGCAUGAUAUCCAUGACAGGAUAGAAAGUAGAAAACCAUUGAGGUAAGGGGGGAGGAAUUUCAUGAUAUUACCCGUACAACGGUGUUUGGAUAAUUGAUAAAGAAAACUUAGCAUUAUGCUUCAAAUGUUCCUAUUGAUGAUAGGAGUACCACAUACAUGCUUCGAGAUUGCAUUGACAUGGUCUUCAAGCAAAGGUCGGACUUUCGAUACACAAGGGAUCCAUCAGGAACAACUUGUAAAGUAAGUCUUACGAUUUCCUCAUGGAAGAAUCGCUAAGCUUGCUAAAAAGAAACUAUAACAAUAGGUCCUCUGGCCAGGUGUGCUAGGCAUGACAUAACCUUACCGGGUCAUAUAAAGACCAACAUUAUAACUCUUGGAAAUAUGUUCCAACCAUCAUAUCUGACCGAGAUUCAGAUCUGAUUGGUGUCACGAUACCUCAGACUUAGGACGCCUGAGAAGAAAAGGUGCGGCACAAUUUGACGAGAUGACAUUGUAAGAUUCUCGGGAAAUGAACUAUGGAAGCGAGUUCCGGAACAGGAGUUCAUCAUUAAACCAAGGAGAGGAUGAGGAGGUGGCUGAUGAACUCAACAAUAAUUCAUCAAGACUUCCAAAAAGAGGGAUUUCCACAAUUGCGUGAACAAGGAGAUAUCAUUAGUCAGAUCAAUGAUAUAAUGACGUAUGAUCGAGGAAAACAUACACAAUUUAACAAUGAUAGAAGGGUGCACCCGGAAAUCUGGACUAGGUAGCACGAUCAAUGUUUGAAUGAUGAUUCAAUAAGCAAUAGACUUAGAAUGAAACUAUUGACCAUUAACCCCAAAGCAAUAGGGUUGCUAAAAGUUUUGAAGUCGCACAUCAUAGUUUAAUUGUUGGUUUUCUGGUUAGAAACAACACGGGGACCAAGGAAUGAAUGAAUAUGGCAAGAAGUAUCACCUGUAUCAAGAAUUCUUAAGAGGUGGUGAAAUUCUCACGACUAUCUUGACAUAAAAGAUGGUAAUACUUCAAGAUAGAACAUAAUACAAGCUGUAUAGCAAGUCGCAUCCACAACAUGAUCAAUGUUGUGAUGAAGGAAGAUAAGGAUGUUGUUCAUGGUAACUCAAAUUACCAAGGGACGAGGAUGACACUUAUCAUCAUGAAUUCGAUCGAUAUCCUGGAAGGAGCCAAAAAUUGUUGAUGAUGAUCAUGACAAUUGUUGUCGAGAGGCUCCACGGAGAAGCAAUCGAACAACGACUGCAUCAAGCAAAAGGACUGAUGCAACGAAAGAUUAUUUGAACCACAUAUAUGACACAAACUCGGAAUCAAGUUUGUGGUUCGAGGUGAAACGAUAAGACGAGGAAAUCGACAUAAGCUUAGCUUAUAUUCGAAAGCUGUGCUCCGAGAAUAAGGACCGGGUGGCACAGUUAAACUAUAGCACGAUAACGAUAUAGUUGAUCAGGCUAGGACUGACUUGAUCGGGUACAAAAUCGUACUUAAAUAAGAUUACUAAAGGUUGUUGAACCGUAGUGCGGACUCGGUCCAGUUAUCGGUGUCUUUGAGUGUUUAAUAACUCAGAGCCCAUGAAAAAUUGUAAUCAGUGAGAAUGUAGUACUUGAUGAAGAACUCAUAAGAAGUUAUGCAGUUCCAAGAUAAUCUCGAGAUACCAGGGGGGUAAUACUCGACGAAAGAUCAAAGUAAAGGUUAGAAUGGUGUAUUGAUCCACAGAAGACAAGUGCUUAAACUUGCCCGAGAAAUGGGAACAAAGAAGAACAAUAUGGUCGAAACCAUAACUACAAGGGGUCCAGUUUAAUGACACCGAAAGAAUUACUCGAAUGAGUAAAUACUUGGCAAGAAGCUUCCAUGAUAAGUUCCACAUCGGGUCCAUGGGCAUGAACACAGAGUUCAAGGUCGACUCCCACUUCUCCAAUGCAUACCCUUUCAUUCACUUCUCAUUUUCGAGGAAGUCGUAGUGUUGAGAUUUUAUCUGGCAUAACACCAGUAGAGUAUGACCCGUAGAAGUUUCCGGGUUCACACAGCUUAUGGAAGGCAUAGAUUCAACCCAUCGGGGUACCUAAGGAACAUAUACCACAAACUUCAGGAGUAAACAACACAAGCUCGAAAGCAGAGCAUGUUCGACAAAGCAGAGGAUACAAUUUACCAAAAGCAUUAUGUAUCCGAGAAAAUACUCACAAAGUUAUUGAAUAUGAAGGACGUUGUCGGAUAAAAUCCAACAAAGGAGUUGAUGGUCCACAAGAGAUCUGAUGUGAGCAUCGGUACUCAACUAGAAGAAGAAACAAUGCGAAGGCAUUGGAUUAUAGAAACAACUAACUAAUUCAGAGCUCAUCUGCAAAGGAAUUAUGAUUUUCAAAUCAAGGGAUCAGAAGCCAACGGUCUGAUUAAGAAUGGAUAAGUUGAAUAGAUUUAGGGGUACAAUCGACGGCAAUUAGUUUGGUCGAGAACCAGCUCAUGUUCAAAAUGACAUCUGAGCCAAAAAUAUAAUUUAAAAGGGUAAACCGAUGAUUGCGUGCAUUCGCACUCAUGUUGAAUCAAUAGGAUAAAAUGACGGUGUCAAAGGAGACUAAUGAAUAUUGCUAGACAUAUGGGAAGCAUCCAUAAUGCAAGCAGACAAGUAUUUGCAGAGCAAUAAGCUGCUAAGGAUUUUUGGAGGAUCGAAUAGUAUUUCGAAGACUUUUGUGAAACACCUGAACAACUGGGGAUGAGCGAAUACUUGGAAAGUGCGAGAAAUUAUUCUUAGGGGUAUUCAGGUGGCAAAAACUGCAAGGCAGUAGGCACAAAAUAUUCUCUGGGUAUCUUGUAAUAACAAGAUCGACUGGGAAUAAAAGUAAGCACGACAGGUGUAAGUAUUUAUCCAUAGGGAUAUUUCGGUGGAAGGGAAUUGCAAAAGCAACGGGCACAAGGUCUCGAGAGAAUAUCGGAGAGUAUCUUCGAAAUCUUCUGGUGCAGCCGGCGAUCAUCUGGACUGAAGGGGCUCUCCGGGAGAAAGUAUUUUCGAGAACCUAAAGUUAGAUUUUAGUAAAAAUCGUUUAACCCGAAUAGAAGAGAGUUCAGAAUCCCGGAGUAAAGAUCGAGGAGUAAAAGAUCCUAAUACCACCCAAUGGCGACGUGGGCCCAUGGGCCGCACAGCCAUGUUAGUAAAAGUUUUGUAAUGUCUAGACUCGACUUCGGCCAAGGAGUAUGGAAGGGGGAUUCCUACAGGCAGUCGGCUCUGAUACCAACUUGUGACGCCCCCGAUUCAAUCGUUCACUAAUCAUGCAUGCCAAUGUGUACGAUCAAGAUCUGGGACUCACGGGAAGAUAUCACAACACAACUCUACAACAUAAAUAAGUCAUACAAGCAUCAUAAUACAAGCCAGGGGCCUCGAGGGCUCGAAUACAAGUGCUCGAUCAUAGAUGAGUCAGCGGAAGCAACAAUAUCUGAGUACAGACAUAAGUUAAACAAGUUUGCGUUAAGAAGGCUAGCACAAACUGGGACACAGAUCGAAAGAGGCGCAGGCCUCCUGCCUAGGAUCCUCCUAAACUACUCCUGGUUGUCGUCAGCGGGCUGCACAUAGUAGUAGGCACCUCCGGUGUAGUAGGAGUCGUCGUCGACGGUGGCGUCUGGCUCCUGCACUCCAGCAUCUGGUUGCGACAACCAGGUAGAAAGGAAAGGGGGAAAAGAGGGAGAAAAGCAACCGUGAGUACUCAUCCAAAGUACUCGCAAGCAAGGAGCUACACUACAUAUGCAUGGGUAUAUGUGUAAAGGGCCAUAUCGGUGGACUGAACUGUAGAAUGCCAGAAUAAGAGGGGGAUAGCUAAUCCUGUCGAAGACUACGCUUCAGGCCAUCUCCAUCUUGCAGCAUGUAGAAGAGAGUAGAUGGUAAGUUCACCAAGUAGCAUCGCAUAGCAUAAACCUACCCGGCGAUCCCCUCCUCGUCGCCCUGUUAGAGAGCGAUCACCGGGUUAUAUCUGGCACUUGGAAGGGUGUGUUUUAUUAAGUAUCCGGUUCUAGUUGUCAUAAGGUCAAGGUACAACUCCGGGUCGUCCUUUUACCGAGGGACAUGGCUAUUCGAAUAGAUAAACUUCCCUGCAGGGGUGCACCACAUAACCUAACACGCUCGAUCCCAUUUGGCCGGGCACACUUUCCUGGGUCAUGCCCGGCCUCGGAAGAUCAACACAUCGCAGCCCCACCUAGGCACAACAGAGAGGUCAGCACGACGGUCUAAAUCCUAUGGCGCAAGGGUCUGGGCCCAUCGCCUAUUGCACACCUGCACAUUGCGAACGCGGCCGGAAGCAGACCUAGCCUAGCAGGCGUUCCAGUCCAAUCCGGCGCGCGCCGCUCAGUCGCUGAUGUCAAGAAGGCUUCGGCUGAUACCACGACGUCGAGUGCCCAUAACUGUUCCCGCGUAGUUGGUUAGUGCGUAUAGGCCAAAUGGCCAGACUCAGAUCAAAUACCAAGAACUCGUUAAGCGUGUUAAGUAUCCGCGAACGCCGACCAGGGCCAGGCCCACCUCUCUCCUAGGUGGUCUCAACCUGCCCUGUCGCUCCACCACAAAGUAACAGUCGGGGGCCGUCGGGAACCCAGGCCCACCUCUACCGGGAUGGAGCCACCUGCCCCUUCAGCCCCCAUCUCCGAACAGUAUCAUAAGUAAUGUAACAGUAUAAAGUAUAUAACAUAUGCCCGUGAUCACCUCCCGAAGUGAUCACGGCCCAGUAGUAUAGCAUGGCAGACGGACAAGAGGUAGGGCCACUGAUGGAACACUAGCAUCCUACACUAAGCAGUAGGAUAGCAGGUAAGGGUAACAACUGUAGCAACAAUGACAGGCUAUGCAUCAGAAUAGGAUUAACCGAAAGCAGUAACAUGCUACACUACUCUAAUGCAAGCAGUAGAGAGAAGGAAUAGGCGAUAUCUGGUGAUCAAGGGGGGGCUUGCCUGGAAGCUCAGCCGAGAAGGAGGGGUCGUCAACACCGUAGUCGAACUGGGGGUCGCCGGCAGUCUCGGGGUCUACCGGAAAGAAAUAACGGAUGGGGAACACAAUAAAUAAUAGAGCAAUCAAAGCAACACAAAGCAUAACAUGGCAAUACGCGGUGCUAGGGUGACCUAACGCGGUACUAGGCGAUACUUGCGAAGGGGGGAAAACAUCUGGGAAAGUAUUCCCGGUGUUUCGCGUUUUCGGACAGAUGAACCGGAGGGGGAAAGUUGCGAGUUUGCUAUACUAAGGAUGUGUGGCGGACGAACGGGCUGCGUAUUCAGAUUCGUCUCGUCGUUCUGAGCAACUUCCAUGUACAAAUUUUUUUGAUCCGAGCUACGGUUUAUUUUAUAUUAAUUUUAAAAGAUUUAAAUCAAUUUUAGGAUUUAUUUAAUUAUUUUAAAUCAACAUUAUCCAGAACAGUGCAUGCUGACGUCAUCAUGACAUCAGCAGUCAACAGAGGUGUUGACUGGUCAAACUAACGUGUGGGUCCCAGCUGUCAUAGACUGUUAGUACUAACUAAUAGAUUAGAUAUUUUAAGUAGUUAAAUUAGAUUAACUAAGUUUAAUUAGUUUAACUAAUCAGAAUUAAUUAAGUUAAUUAAUUAAUUAAUAUUUUUAUUUACUUACUAUUAUUAUUAUUUAAUUCUUUUUUUAUCGUUCUGAGCGCGGGGCCCCCUUGUCAUUGGCCCUAGAGGGCGUCGGGCGCAACCCGAACUGGCGCAGCGGGCGCCCGUCCGCUGNNNNNNNNNNNNNNNNNNNNNNNNNNNNNNNNNNNNNNNNNNNNNNNNNNNNNNNNNNNNNNNNNNNNNNNNNNNNNNNNNNNNNNNNNNNNNNNNNNNNNNNNNNNNNNNNNNNNNNNNNNNNNNNNNNNNNNNNNNNNNNNNNNNNNNNNNNNNNNNNNNNNNNNNNNNNNNNNNNNNNNNNNNNNNNNNNNNNNNNNNNNNNNNNNNNNNNNNNNNNNNNNNNNNNNNNNNNNNNNNNNNNNNNNNNNNNNNNNNNNNNNNNNNNNNNNNNNNNNNNNNNNNNNNNNNNNNNNNNNNNNNNNNNNNNNNNNNNNNNNNNNNNNNNNNNNNNNNNNNNNNNNNNNNNNNNNNNNNNNNNNNNNNNNNNNNNNNNNNNNNNNNNNNNNNNNNNNNNNNNNNNNNNNNNNNNNNNNNNNNNNNNNNNNNNNNNNNNNNNNNNNNNNNNNNNNNNNNNNNNNNNNNNNNNNNNNNNNNNNNNNNNNNNNNNNNNNNNNNNNNNNNNNNNNNNNNNNNNNNNNNNNNNNNNNNNNNNNNNNNNNNNNNNNNNNNNNNNNNNNNNNNNNNNNNNNNNNNNNNNNNNNNNNNNNNNNNNNNNNNNNNNNNNNNNNNNNNNNNNNNNNNNNNNNNNNNNNNNNNNNNNNNNNNNNNNNNNNNNNNNGGGGAUGGGCGUUAGGGUUUCGGGGGGUUAAUGGGUGCGUGGGGGUUGGGCCAGGCUGGGACGGUGAGCUGGCUGGCUGGGCCGUUUGGCCCAGUUGGCCAGGGGGUCUCCCUCAUUUGUUUUUUUUUUUCUGUUUUGUUUUUCUUUCUCUUUUUAUUUAUUUUUCUUUUCUGUUUUUGCUCAUUUUAAAUAUAUAGGCCUUAUAUAAAAACAUGGUUUCUACAUGACAAAUAGUUAGGGAAUAUUUUCAAAACAUCGAACAUUUUAGUUUUGACUUUUGAAAACUUUAAUUAUUUUAAUUUUAAUUCAAAUUUUGAAUUUGAAUCCGUUUCGAACUAACGCGAGAUUAUCAGCAGUAACCGAGGUGACGAGGCAUCAUUAACGCGGGAUUACUGUAGCCUAAUUAUCCGGGCGUCACAUGAUCAUUGCCUUGAUAUCAUCAUAAUUAUUUGAAGUUCUAUAAAUUGCCCAACAGUAAUUUGUUUACCCACCGUUUGCUAUUUUUCUCGAGAGAAGCCACUAGUGAAACCUACGGCCCUCGGGUCUUCUUUCUCAUAUAUUUGCCUUGCGAUCUACUUUUCCUUUGCAUUUUUAUUCAGAUCUAUUAAACCAAAAGAUACAAAAAUACCUUGUUGCGUUUUAUCUUUAUUUAUUUUAUUUAGCAUUCGAUCUAUCAAUCUACUACAAUUUACCUCACGUCCGCUUGCCUAUCUUGAGGCGCUGUAUCCCGGAAGGGAUUGACAAUCCCUUUAACACGUCAGGUUGCAAGGUGUUGUUGUUUGUGUGCAGGUGCUGCUUACGUUGUGUUGCUUGGUUCUCCUACUGGUUCGAUACCUUGGUUUCAUAACUGAGGGAAAUACCUACUGUCUCUGUGCGACAUCAUCCCUCCCUCUCCGGGGAAAUACCGACGUAGUUCCAGCUACCAUCAAGGAGAAUUUCUGGCGCUGUUGCCGAGGAGGAUCUUCAACAUAACCAGGUUCCUAAUCACAAAUCUCAUCUCCUUGGAAUUUACAUUAUUCGCCAUUUGCCUCUCGUUUUCCUCUCCCCCACUUCACAAAAAUUUGCAGUUUUAUUCGCCUCUCUUUUCCGUUUGCCGCUUUCUUGCCGGAUCUGUCUUUGUGUGUGAGAUCUUGUUUGCCGUUAUGGAUAAUUCCUCCUCUACUGCUUGCACUCCCGAGAACGAGAUUCUCAACUUUAAACAAAGGGGAAGAGAAAGUUUAAAAGAUGCUUGGUAUAGAAUUUGCAAUGCUCAUAAUAGAUCUAUCCGUAAGCAAUCUACCGUUGUGCUUUUGCGUUGUUUUUAUGUUGGCACCACCACUUGGUAUAGAUUCGUCCUUGAUACGAUUACCGGUGGAAAUGUCUUAAUGAGCCCUCCUUUUGAUGCUCUUAAUGCUAUGGGAAAUUUAGUGGGCUCACCACCUCUUAUGGUUAAUGAAACAAUUUUGACUCUUGAGCAUGUUAUGGAAAGACUAGAUGCUAUCGAAAAGAAAAUGCUCACCAAAGAUCAUAUGGAAAUUAUACAUAAAAAGAUGCAUAAUUUUGCCACUAAUCUUGGAUCAAAAGUAGGCGAUAUUUUUAAGUUGUUAAAAGAAAGGGGUACUUUAAUCCAUGAAAGAAUAGAAGAAAGUCCGUCUCGGAUCGAUAAAUUGGAAGAAAUCUUUAGUAAUCUAAGCACGGCUUUUACUACCACUAAAAUUAUUGAGGAAACUCCCGUAAAGAGUAGGAGAUCCAAGAAUAAGGGUGCAACUCCUAGUGAUAGCAAUAGAGGAGAUCUUAAGAUGAUUAGUAUCCACCCUGAUUUUGUUGAAGUGAUAAGAGAUCCUUUUUGCAAGAAUGAAAUCUUUGAAUUUAUUCAUAGGAGUGUUAUUAUUGAAAACCUUUAUGCUAAAUCUUUGAGGGAUUCUAAGUGUUUGAUUGAAGAGUUGACAAAGAUGACAAAACUUAGAUCCUUGCUUUACGCCUAGCUAAGGGCGUAAAACUAUAGCGCUUGUUGGGAGGCAACCCAUUGAAUAAAAUUUAUUUUUUCUUUUUGCUUUCUGUUCUUGAGUGUUUACACAAUUAUGCCACUGUUAUGAUUGUGUUUUUUGUGUUCUAAUUAGUGUUUGUGCCAAGUAAAGCCUUUAGGAUCUUCUUGGGUGAUAGUUGUUUGAUCUUUCUGAAAAAGACAGAAACUUUGUGCUCACAAAAAUAAUUUUCAUAAAUCACAGAAAAGAGCUUUGCUCUAAUUCUUUUUGCAGAAGAUUAAUAUACAAGUUACCCUGGUCAUCCUAAUUUGGUAAAUUUUUUGGAGAUCCAGAAGUAUUCGCAAAAGUCAGAUUGCUACAGAUUGUUCUGUUUUGACAGAUUCUGUUUUCUUUGUGUUGUGUGCUUAUUUUGAUGGCUCUGUGGUUUUCAUUGAUGAGUUUUUACCAUAGAAAAGUUGGAAUACAGUAUAUAUAAUACAAAAACAAAAUAUGAAAUGGUUUGAUACAACACUUAUAGUACUGAUUUAUUUUUCUUACACUAACAGAUCUCACGAAGGUUUUGUUGAGUUUUGUGUGAUUGAACUUUUCAAGUUUUGGGUUAUCUUAUGAUGGAUGAAGGAAGGAUGUAAGAGCCUAAGCUUGGGGAUGCCCCGGCAUCCCAAGCUAUUAUCCAAGAAUGAGCAACCAACUAAGCUUGGGGAUGCCCCCGAGUGGCAUCCCCGCUUUCUUCCAACAACUAUCGGUAUUUUACUCGAGGCUAUAUUUUUAUUCGUCACAUGAUAUGUGUUUUUCUUGGAGCGUCUUGUACGAUAUGAGUCUUUGCUUGUUUUAUUUUGUGUUUUAAGUCAUCAAUCCUUACUGGACACACCUAUUUGAGAGAGCCAAAAUUAUAUCAUGACUUGUUAGAAUUUCUCUUUAUGCUUCACUUAAAUCUUUUAUGAGCUAGGACUUGCUCUAGUGCUUCACUUAUAUCUUUUUGAGCACGGUGUGCUUUGUUAUUUUUGACGAAAUGCUCUCUUGCUUCACUUAGAUUUAUUUGAGAGUUACUAAAAUUUUGAAGAAAUUCUCUCUUGCUUCACUUAAAUUAUUUUGAGAGAAAGAAAAUUUGCUAUACUCAUGAUCUUCACUUAUAUUUGUUUGAGCUUAUGAAAAGCAACACAUGAAAAUUAGUCCCAAAGUGAUAGAUAUCCAAGAAGUAUAAAGUAAAAUAAAAUGUCAUGAAGAUCAUUGUACAAAAUAAACUUGAUUCUUAGUAAUAGUUUUGAGAUAUGAUGAUGUGAUAUGUGAGUUAUGUUGAUGAGUAAUUGUGCUCUAGUAGGAAUAUUGUUGUUAAGGUUUGUGAUUCCCUAUGCAUGCACGGAAGUUAAUAAUCAUGCAAUGAAAAUAUAUCCUACUUGUGGUGCAUUAUUCGGUGUUAAUUAUGCUUAAUGCUUGCUUAUGAGAUUAUUCGUUUCUUGGUUGGUCGCUUCCCAAUCUUUUGCUAGCCUUCAUUUUGCACUAAGUAUGACCUCUACUUGUGCAUCCAAAAUCCUUUAAACCAGUUUUGCCACAUGAGUCCACUAUAUCUACCUAUAUGCGGUAUUCUUUUGCCGUUCUAAGCAAAUUUACACGUGCCAUCUCUAAUUUUCAAAAUAAACUUCUCUUUUGUGUGUUUGUUUCGCUCACGAAACGGUAACGGGUGGCUAAUAUUUUCCAUACUGGAUGUGUUAUUCUCAUGAUGAGUGUUUAUUCACUUGUCAUUGCAUGAGAGUAAGGCAAAGGUUUUAGGGAUGCCCAAUCCCGAAAUGCAAAAAUUAAUUUACUUUAUGUUGUCAAAUAAUAAAUUCCUUGGAAAGUGUUGGUAUGGAGGGCACCCGUGGAUACGGCUAGCCAUGGAAAGUGAAAGAAUGGUGGAAAAAGGAAUAAACUUUAUUUUCUGUUUGGGAACCGCCUAUGGCAUAUCUAGCAUGGAAAGUGUUGGGAACUCUAAGUCGUUUACGUUGGUGGGAUGGAUACACGUCCCAAAAUGUUUUUAUCUCUAAUUUUUCGCUUUGAGCUCUGGCACCUCUACAAAUCGGUACUUCCCUCUGCGAAGGGCCUUUCUUUUACUUUAUGCAAUUUUUAUUUUGAAAUUUGAGUCUCCAUCUUCUCUCAUAAAAAGCACCAACUAGGAGGCAAUAUGAUCGUGCUUAAGUAUUGGGUGUAGUUAAUAUUCGAGUGUGUUUCAUGAAUGGAUCAAUGUUUGAGGAUGAUGGGCUAGGGAUAACUUAUUUUAGCGUUGAUAUUUUGAAAGACAUGGUUGCUUGUUGAUAUGCUUGCGUAUCUAAAUUAUUAUGUCAAAACUAGACUAUUGCUUUGAAUCACAUAAAAGUCCAAAUGUCCAUGCUAUGAAGAAAAAGAAUAUGAUAUGACUUGAUAAACAACACUCCACAUAAAAAAAUCUGUUUUUAUCACUUACCUACUCGAGGAUGAGUAGGAGUUAAGCUUGGGGAUGCUGAUACGUCUCCAAUGUAUCUAUAAUUUUUGAUUGUUCCAUGCUUUUUUAUUAUCAAUCUUGGAUGUUUUAUAAUCAUUUUAUAGUCAUUUUAUAUCAUUUUUUGGUACUAACCUAUUGACAUAGUGCCAAGUGCCAGUUGCUGUUUUUUCCAUGUUUUUUACAUCGCUGGAAAUCAAUAUCAAACGGAUUCCAAAUGCCACAAAACUUCAUGAUGAUUUUUUAUGGGCCAAAAGGAAGCAGAUGGGCCCUGGUUGCACCUGGGGGGAGUCCCUAGGAGGGGACAGCCCACCAGGGCGCGCCAGGAGGCCCUGGCGCGCCCUGGUGGGUUGUGCCCAUCUCGGGUGCCCCCCAGACCGCCUCUUUGCUCUAUAAAUACCACAAUAUUCCAGAAACCUAGAAGCAUCGACGAAAUAUUCAUCUAGCCGCCGCAGAGUCCAGAACCACCAGAUCCAAUCUAGACACCAUCACGGAGGGGUUCACCACUUCCAUUGGUGCCUCUCCGAUGAUGCGUGAGUAGUUCCUUGUAGACCUUCGGGUCCGUAGUUAGUAGCUAGAUGGAUUUCUCUCUCUCUCUCUCUCUCUCUCUCUCUCUCGCUGAAUUCUCAAUACAAUGGUCUCUUGGAGAUCCAUAUGAUGUAACUCUUUUGCGAUGUGUUUGUUGGGAUCUGAUGAACUUCGAGUUUAUGAUCAGUUAUAUCUUUUUAUACCCAUGAAAGUUAUUUGAGUUUCUUUGAUCUCUUAUAUGCAUGAUCUCUUAUAGCCUCAUAUUUCUUCUCUGAUAUUUGGGUUUUGUUUGGCCAACUUGAUCUAUUUAUCUUGUAAUGGGAAGAGGUGCCUGGUAGUGGGUUCGAUCUUACGGUGCUCGAUCCUAGUGACAGAAAGGGAAACGACACGUAUGUAUCGUUGCUACUAAGGAUAAAAACACGAGAUCUAUAUCUACCACCAUAUAGAUAAACGGAUCUUGUCUACAUCAUGUCAUCGUUCUUAUUGCAUUACUCCGUUUUUCCUUGAACUUAAUACACUAGAUGCAUGCUGGAUAGCGGUUGAUGUGUGGAGUAAUAGUAGUAGAUGCAGGCAGGAGUCGGUCUACUAAUCUUGGACGUGAUGCCUAUGUAAUGAUCAUUGCCUGGAUAUCGUCAUAAUUAUUUGAAGUUCUAUCAAUCUCCCAACAGUAAUUUGUUUACCCACCGUUUGCUAUUUUUCUCGAGAGAAGCCAGUAGUGAAACCUACGGCCCCCGGGUCUUCUUUCUCAUAUAUUUGCCUUGCGAUCUACUUUUCCUUUGCAUUUUAUUCAGAUCUAUUAAACCAAAAAAAAUACAAAAAUACCUUGCUACGUUUUAUCUUUAUUUAUUUUAUUUGGCGUUAGAUCUAUCAAUCUACUACAAUUUAUCUCACGUCCACUUGCCUAUCUUGAGGUGCCGUACCCCGGAAGGGAUUGACAACCCCUUUAACAUGUCGGGUUGCGAGGUGUUGUUGUUUGUGUGCAGGUGCUGCUUACGUUGUGUUGCUUGGUUCUCCUACUGGUUCGAUACCUUGGUUUCAUAACUGAGGGAAAUACCUACCGUCGAUGUGCUACAUCAUCCCUCCCUCUCCGGGGAAAUACCGACGUAGUUCCUGCUACCAUCAGUGGCCUGGAUUUUCUAGAAAGAUAAUUGAACGACAUUUCGGGUUGACUUUAAGUCUGUCGAGGCUCCAUACAUUACAGUCAACAAAUGAGUGAAGGAGAAAGUCUGCACCAUAUAUGAGAGAAAAAGAAUCCCGACUGUUGUCGUGGGGGUCAUUUUUCCUUCUUCUCCUUGUGCUAGACCUUUGUUAUGCACUAGGGGAAGGAGGAAUAACGACCAUCACCGACGGUCGAAAAAUCAGUGAGGGAGUGUGUCCACCAUAUAUGAGAAAGGAUGAAGAAUCCCGACUGUUGUCGUGGGGGUCGUUUCUCCUUCUUCUCCUUGUGCUAGACCUUUGUUAUGUACUAGGGAAGGAGGAGUAACGACCAUCACCGACGGUCGCAAAUGUCAAAGAGGAAUCAGCGAGGGAGAGUCUCCACAAUAUAUGAGAGGACGAAGAAUCCCGACUGUUGUCGUGAGGGUCGCUUCUCCUUCGUUCCCCUAUGCUAGAAAUUUUAGUGUAAUGCACUUGGGGACGAAAGGAGGAGCGACCAUCACCAACGGUCGAAUGUAUACACCACGCGAGCUGAGAGUUUCCAAGAAAAGACUUGACAGACUGAUAGUCAACCCGUGAUGAAUAAUAAUGAUCUAAUUUAGUUUUUGUAGUACAUAUAUUUAAUUGUACAAGUCUAAUCUUUGAAUUAUGAACAUAGGAAAUGUCGUCGUCGGACGAUGAAAGUCUCCUGGCGGAGUGCGACUGGUGCGGCGAUGACCGGGGUCUGUGCGACAGGCCUCACCUGGUAGAAGGUCGGCGCUUCAGCAUUAAGCUCCAGGAGACCUUCUAUGUUGAAACGGUACACAACGACGACAAGUGUUUUUUUUCAUAAUUAAGCACGACUUCUGCUACUUCAACGUGUAAUUUUCGUCUUUUACAAUUCGACUAGCUUAUCCCAUGCCAUGCAAGACGCUAUGUCUUGGAGAGGAUGGAUUUUGAAGAUCAUGAAACUAUGGAAACAAAGAUAAUUCACCUAAGGACACAUCAUGGUAUGGAUUUUGAUGUAAAUCUAUACAAUUCUGAGAGCGUAACCCAUUUUGGUUGCCCGAAUUGGGAAGCACUUUGCAAGAUGUAUGAUUUUCAUGAGGGUAUGCUUGUCACCAUGGAUCUUGGUGAUCCUGACAUCGCCCAAGACAAUAUGGACAUUUAGGUCCUUGUUGAUACGCUUCCAAUUCUACCGCUAUAUGCAUGAGUUUCUCAAACAUAAUUAUUAAGUAAUUUAUAUUAUUUAUUUCAAAAUACUUGACAGCUUAUUUCCAUUGAUAGCUUAUUUUCAUUCUUCAAAGAAUGUGCGAAAGAUGGUUGACAGAACCUACUACACCGAUGACUCAGAAUUAACUUAUCAGGAGAAAAAUCAUCUGAUCUCAUUUAUUACCGAUCUUGAGAAUUACAAUAUCUAUUAUCAAACUCCUCCACAUUAUGGUCAAUACGUGCCACUAGUGCAUGUGUUGAACUAUGGUAACAUCCAUGGAGAUGUCAUGGUAUGAUUCUUUUACUAUUACGACAUCCGUGCAUCUUUUGCAUACAUUCUUCUAAAACUCAACUACAUUGCUAACUACGAAAUUAUUAUUGUGUGUUUGAACAGAAAAUGCCGAAGGAUUGUGUGCCUCAUCUGAUGUUUCCGAAUGGUCGCCUUGAUGUUAUGAACUUAAGGCCAGGUCAUCGUACGCAUCACUGCUGUUCAUACCGGAUUUCUAAAACCCAUGAAGACAUGACAAUUAAAUAUUGAAAAAAAUGCAUGAUCAAUCGUAGGGAGCUACUUGGAAGCAACAUUAUGCGAAACGCAAGAAUUGGAGAAAGGAUAAUCUCCGUUCUCCAUAAUGGAGAGUCAGGGCCUAUAUUGUUUUAUGCUAUUUUACCUAAGAGAGGGUAGUAGGUCCUAUGAGAGAGGAGUAGGUCCUAGGUACAAUGUGUUAUUAUGUGCUACAAUGUGUUAAGAGUUGAUGAUGAUGAUGAGGAGUUGUGAUUAUGACUAGUGACCAACUUGCUAUAUGAUGUCUCAUUGAUGAAAAUGAUGAUCAUGAGGAGGUGUUAUAUGACAAUGAUGCAUUACGAUGAUAAGUUGUUAAUGAUAUGAUGAUGAUGAUUUAUUAUAUCAUUGGGUGAAAGAACCAAUCAUGUAAUAACUCAUUAUGAUGUAAAAACAAUCUCUAAAUUGCUAAUGUAUGAAAACUUGUAUAAAGGUGUAUCAAUAUGACAUAAAAUAAAAAAGUAAUAGAAUAUUAAAUAAUAGUAGUAGCGUGGGCAGAGAGACGCGCUACUACUAAUUACCAGUAGUGCCUUUUGCAGGAAGCACUACUAUUAAGUGGAUAUAGCGGUUGCGCGGGUAAAACAACGCUACUGCUAACCUUUAGCUAGCUGUAGCGCCGUAGCAGUAGCGCGGUCACCCGCGUUAAUGCUAGGCCAAAAACCCACACUACUGCUAGGUUUUUCCCUAGUAGUGAUGGCCUGGAGUGGAGGCGCCAGAGGGAAAGGGAUGGCAGAGGCCGCGGCGGAGGGAAGGGCCAGGAGCCAAGCCGGCGCCGGAGAAUGGGCACUUAGAAUGGCGGCGGCGGCUUGAAUCAGGAGUGGAACCCUAGCUCUCGUGGUGACGAGGGGUUGGCCUCGAUUCUUUUUUUGUGACCAAAGAAAAAAACAGUGCGCUAUACAAAAUAGAGUCGCCCCUUAAAAUAUGCUACUAGUGCGCUAUAGCAUGCCACUAGCGAGAUAUUGUACAUUGAUUUAUUUAGCGAGACAAUUCUUUACACUUUGUAGUGUGCCAUUAGCGACGGUAUAUCAAGCUAUUUUUUCAGUGGUUGUGAUGGGGUUGGGCCCAGUGGCAAAUCCACUGUUAUAAGUGUGAAAACCAGGGGCAAUCUGCUAUACCCUUUUGCUUUUAAGUUAGAUUUUGCAGGAAGUUACCCUCCCCUCAGAAUUUUUUCCUUUGCGAAGGAGACCCGGGUGGAAAGAAGUUAAGCCCUUUCCUACAAAACAAGUAUUUUUUUGCGUUUCUAGCUUAUUUUGACAAUAAGUUUCUACAAGAUACAAAAGAACUUCCCCUAAGCACCACUCGCAGAGGAUAAGGAGGGCAACAGUGGCACAGUGCAUGUGCAAGGCCAUAAUUCCAAGUGAAAAUGGUUGUGCUAGGAUUUGUUUUGAGAAAAGUUGUGCUGGGACUUUUUUUAGGGGAAAAUAGCUGCCAUUAAUAAACUUGUUCUAUGGCACCAUACGGGCAUCUCCAAAAACGAUGGGACUUUAGGAACCUAUUUCUCUCUAUUCUGCCCACUCCAAGGAAUUAUGAAGUUAUCUAAAUUUUUAUAUUUGCAAAGAAAAAAUUCUGAAUUUUUAAUAGAUUUCAAUUGUGAUAUAAAUGAUACAGUACUUUUAUUACACUCAAUUUCAAAAGAUAUCAGUAAAAGUGUGCUGCGUAUUAUUAGAUGACACAUAAUAAUACAUCAUUUAAUAUGAUACGGUAUCAUAUCACUAUACUCAAACCUUUUUUUCUCACUUAAUUGUGUAUCACCUCAACAGAAAUGUGUAGCUGGCAUGCAUGAUACUAUAUAUAUGAUACUCUUAUUGUGACUAGCCUCAUGAAAAGUAAGGGAUGAGACCUACUAUGCCAUCUACUAUAUAUAGAACUUUUACAUGUUCUGAAUUCAAUGCAGAAGUACUUCUAAUAAAUCUAAUUUAUGCCAUCUACCAACUGCAUCUGGCUCUAUAUAUGCUUCUUAUGACCAUCAAACUACUACUCGUUUCAUAUAUCAGAAGCGCCCUUGUGAAUGGUUCAAACUAUGUGUGAUCAUUUAAGCUCUAUGAUUCUAGUACAUGUUAGUUUGUUGGAAUAGACUAGCAAAACAAAACUAUGCUAAGUCAUGAAAUUUAGAUGACUUGAUGUUGGCAGUGAACUUAGCCGGCCCAUAUAAGGCAGUACCAUAUAUUGGCAUGGCACACAAGAUGUGUGUCCUAACAUACCGACACCUUAACCGGUUUAUAAGUUACUAUUCGGAAGUCGGAAUGAGUGGCCUCAGGAAAACAUCUAUCACAACCAUGGGGGUUGAGUAAUUAAUAUAAGUUUCAUUCACAAAAAAAACCAGCUAAGUUUUCUCGUACUUCACUCCGUUCUCCCCCUCUGCGGCAUAUGCAAAGCCUCCCCCCUAACCCCUCCCUUUGGUAUGUAGUUUAGGCAUGGCUGCUAUUUUUGUUUAUCUUCUUUUGUUACCUCCUCUCCCGUCCGUGACUUCUGAUCUAUUUGAUCUCUGCCGAUUCUUGACUUCCCAUUUGAAGAUUGACUCGUGCACUGAAGAUUACAGAGUUUUACCCUGUGUAUCGCAACAUUACUGGGAUCCCUAAACUUUGGUUCAGUCGUUCUUUCUUUGGACCCCGGGCUUGUAGUAAAAUCACCCAUUCCUUGGCGGCAAUGGGAGUGAGGAGGCAUGGACUUAGGUUGUUGUGGGCAGUAGGUGAAGGUGCUUCACUUAUAUCUUUUUAUGCACGGUGUUGUUUAGUAUUUUUGAAGAAAUGCUGUCUUGCUUCACUUAGAUUUAUUUGAGAGUUAGUAAAAUUUUGUAGAAAUUCUCUCUUGCUUCACUUAAGUUAAUUUGAGAGAAAGAAAUAUUAUGCUCAUGAUCUUCACUUAUAUUUGUUUGAUAUUAUCAAAAGCAACAUAUGAAAAUUAGUCCCAAAGUGAUAGAUAUCCAAGAAGGAUAUAAUAAAAACUUUCGUGAAGAUCAUUGGACAAAAUAAACUUGAUUCUUAGUAAUAGUUUUGAGAUAUGAUGAUGUGAUAUGUGAGUCAUGUUGAUGAGUAAUUGUGAUUUAGUAAGAAUAUUGGUGUUAAGAUUUGUGAUUCCCUAUGCAAGCACCAAAGUCAAUAGUUAUGCAAUGAAAUUAUAUCCUACUUGUGGUGCAUUAUUCGGUGUUAAUUAUGCUUCAUGCUCGCUUAUGAGAUUAUUCGUUUCUUGGUUGGCCGCUUCUCAAUCUUUUGCUAGCCUUCAUUUUGCACUAAGUAUGAUCACUACUUGUGCAUCUAAAAUCCUUUAAACCAGUUUUGCCACAUGAGUCCACUAUACCUACCUAUAUGUAGUAUUCUUUUGCCGUUCUAAGCAAAUUUGUAUGUGCCAUCUUCAAUAUUCAAAAUAAAUUUCUCUUUUGUGUGCUCAUACCGCUCGCAAGGCGGUGAGGGGUGGCUAAUAUUUUCCAUGCUAGAUGUGUUAUUCUCAUGAUGAGUGUUUAUUCACUUGUCAUUGCACGAGAGUAAGGCAAAGGUAUUAGGGAUGCCCAGUCCCGAAAUGAAAAAUGAAUUUACUUUAUGUUGUCAAAUAAUAAAUUCCUUGGAAAGUGUUGGUAUGGAAGGAACCCAUGGAUACGGUUAGCCAUGGAAAGUGAAAGUAUGGUUGAAAAAGGAAUAAACUUUAAUUUUUGUUUGGUAACCGCCUAUGAUAUAUCUAGCAUAGAAAUUGUAGGGAACUCUAAUUCAUUUUUGUUGGUGGGAAAAGUAUGCCUCUCAAAAUGUUUUUAUCUCUCAAUUUUUGCUUUGAGCUCUGGCACCUCUACAAAUCCCUACUUCCCUCUGUGAAGGGCCUUUCUUUUACUUUAUGCAAUUUUUAUUUUUAUUUUGAGUCUUCAUCCUCUCUUAUAAAGCACCAAUUAGGGGGCACUAUGAUCGUACUUGAGCAUUGGGUGUAGCUAAUAUGCGAGUGUGUUUAAUGAAUGGAUCAAUGAUUGAGCAUGAUGGGCUAGGGAUAACUUAUUUUAGCGUUGAUAUUUUGAAAGACAUGGUUGCUUGUUGGUAUGCUUGAGUAUUUAAGUUAUCAUGUCAAAACUAGACUAUUGCUUUGAACAAUAUAAAAGUCCAAAUGUCCAUGCUAUAAAGAAAAUAAUAUGAGAUGACAUGUUAGGCAACAUUCCACAUCAAAAAUUCUGUUUUUAUCAUUUACCUACUCGAGGACGAGCAGGAAUUAAGCUUGGGGAUGCUGAUACGUCUCCAACGUAUCUAUAAUUUUUUAUUGUUCCAUGCUGUUAUAUUAUCAUUCUUGGAUGCUUUAUAAUCAUUUUAUAUCAUUUUUUAGUACUAACCUAUUGACAUAGUGCCAAGUGCUAGUUGUUGUUUUCUGCAUGUUUUUUCCAUCGCAGGAAAUCAAUACCAAACGGAGUCCAAACACAGCGAAACUUUUUGUGGAUUUCUUGGACCAGAAGGCAUCUAGUGGGCCAGAGAAGCGCCUGGGGGGUGCUCCAAUGGGAGCACAACCAACCAGGGCGCGCCAGGAGGCCUAGGCGCGCCCUGGUGGGUUGUGCCCACCUCGGGUGCCCCCUGAACCGGUUCUUUGCUCUAUAAAUACCCCAAUAUUCCAGAAACCCUAGGGGAGUCGACGAAAAUCAAUUCCAGCCGCCGCAGAGUCCAGAACCACCAGAUCCAAUCUAGACACCAUCACGGAGGGGUUCACCACUUCCAUUGGUGCCUCUCUGAUGAUGCGUGAGUAUUUCUUUGUAGACCUUCGGGUCCGUAGUUAGUAGCUAGAUGUCUUCCUCUCUCUCGUUUGAUUCUCAAUACAAUGGUCUCUUGGAGAUCCAUACGAUGUAACUCUUUUUGUGGUGUAUUUGUUGGGAUCGGAUGAACUUUGAGUUUAUGAUCAGAUCUAUCUUUUUAUCCAUGAAAGUUAUUUGAGUUUCUUUGAACUCUUAUAUGCAUGAUUGCUUAUAGCCUCAUAUUUCUUCUCUGAUAUUUGGGUUUUGUUUGGCCAACUCGAUCUAUUUAUCUUGCAAUGGGAAGAGGUGCUUUGUAGUGGGUUCGAUCUUACGGUGCUUGAUCCCAGUGACAGAAGGUAAACUGACACGUAUGUAUCGUUGCUACUAAGGAUAAAAUGAUGGGGUCUAUUUCUUAAUAAAUAGAUCUUGUCUACAUCAUGUCAUCGUUCUUAUUGCAUUACUCCGUUUCUCCAUGAACUUAAUACACUAGAUGCAUGCUGGAUAGCGGUCGAUGUGUGGAGUAAUAGUAGUAGAUGCAGGCAGGAAUCGGUCUACUAAUCUUGGACGUGAUGCCUAUAUAAUGAUCAUUGCCUCGAUAUCAUGAUGAUUAUUUGAAGUUCUAUCAAUUGCCCAACAGUAAUUUGUUCACCCACCGUUUGCUAUUUUCCUCGAGAGAAGCCACUAGUGAAACCUACGGCCCCCGGGUCUGUUUCUCAUAUUAUUUGCCUUCACAAUCUAUUUUAUUUGCCUUUUAUUUUCAGAUCUAUUAAACCAAAAAUAUAAAAAUACUUUUCUGCACUUUAUUUUAUUUGGCGUUCGAUCUAUCAAUAUUUACUACUCUCUCACGUCCGUUUGCCAAUUUCUAGCGCCGCUACCCGAAAGGGAUUGACAACCCCUUUUACACGUCGGGUUGCGAGUAUUUGUUAUUUGUGUGCAGGUCCUAUUUACGUAGUGUUGCUUGGUUCUCCUAAUGGUUCGAUAACCUUGGUCUCAUCACUGAGGGAAAUACCUACCGCCGUUGUGCUGCAUCAUCCCUUCUUCUUGGGGGAAAUACCGACGUAGCUUCAAGCCGCAUCAGUAAACGAUUAGUAAGGUACGUAAUAAAUAAGUUGUGGGGAUUAAAUUAUUAGUGGUGAUUGACGUUACCAAGUUCUCCUCCGUCGAGAGAAGUUCCUGCGUCGGGAGGACCAACUCCUUACUGUCUGGGUCUUGCACUGCACGGGCCCUGAGAAAACGGAAGUCCCGAGCACGAUCUCGAUGUUUCGAGAAUGGAUUUGGUUUACACGUGGCUAUACAGUCCACGGCCUCCUUCUCCGACUUGGGUUAUGCAGCUUUGUAACCACCGGGGCCUAGACGGUGGUUACCUUGCAGAUUUUUUUGUAAAUUACAGAAAUGACCGCUUAUCUCCUUGCUUGACUCGCUACCAGAGGAUUCACAAAACUUCAUCCAUUCUUCGGGAUCCAUAGUUGGAUUGAGCCGCUUAAUGGUCUCGAAGUCCUUACCCACUAUAUUGCAACGGGCACUGCUCUUCCAGUCCCUGAACAUCUUUGGCCAUUUUGACAUGGCAUAAUCUUUGGCUAACUUCUUGACGUCAGACAGAAAUUCAUAACUACAGAAUUCUCCUUGUGUCCGACCAAAUCCUUGCUACCUAUCUGGACGGUAUUUUGCAAAAUGCAACCUAGCAUUUUGCUAUACAUUUUCGAUGCGUCCUCUGGGGUGACGGGCUCACCUUUCGGACCAACUGCGGUGAUUCUAAUUAUACCUUGGUGAAGCUUGUUUGGAUCCCUUGCGUUUCAGUUGCUCUUGCUUGUGGCGGAUUGUGCUGGAUGAAGUCCCGGCAGUGUGGCUCGUGUCCCCUGGCCCGGUGGUCGGUUCAACCUGUCGUUUCNNNNNNNNNNNNNNNNNNNNNNNNNNNNNNNNNNNNNNNNNNNNNNNNNNNNNNNNNNNNNNNNNNNNNNNNNNNNNNNNNNNNNNNNNNNNNNNNNNNNNNNNNNNNNNNNNNNNNNNNNNNNNNNNNNNNNNNNNNNNNNNNNNNNNNNNNNNNNNNNNNNNNNNNNNNNNNNNNNNNNNNNNNNNNNNNNNNNNNNNNNNNNNNNNNNNNNNNNNNNNNNNNNNNNNNNNNNNNNNNNNNNNNNNNNNNNNNNNNNNNNNNNNNNNNNNNNNNNNNNNNNNNNNNNNNNNNNNNNNNNNNNNNNNNNNNNNNNNNNNNNNNNNNNNNNNNNNNNNNNNNNNNNNNNNNNNNNNNNNNNNNNNNNNNNNNNNNNNNNNNNNNNNNNNNNNNNNNNNNNNNNNNNNNNNNNNNNNNNNNNNNNNNNNNNNNNNNNNNNNNNNNNNNNNNNNNNNNNNNNNNNNNNNNNNNNNNUACGUUGUCUACUAUACAUGUAUAGGACUAUGAUCUUGUAUUUAUACCGUUGUAUCUCCCCUCUCCCUCCUAUAUAUUUGUAUAUCUUGGGAGAUAAGUAGAAGCCGGUCCACCCUGUAUCUAUAUAUGUGCAUCAUGCACACGAUCAAUGAAUUAUCGAUGCAUAUGCAAUCCUUUCUUUCCAACUAACAAUGGUGACCACGCCCUCUCGCCCAGGGUGUGCUUUUCACAUACAUCUGUUGUGGUCGUACCCUUAACUUAAAUCACGGCCACUGUGUGACCUACUUUAUCUUCCUAAGUGUGCUAUUUUGGACCAACUGCGUUUUGUUGUGGCGCAUGUGCCAUGCAUCACGGAGCUGAGCGUGUCCCCUAAAAUUCUUAUUAGGCCAACUCUAACGCACGACCCCAAAUGGUCCGGCCGCGUUCGUUUGGGGUUAGACGGACAAACCAGGCCUUCCAACGCGCAGCCGCAAACGGAUAGUCGUCACGGGUUUUCUAUGUUGUGAGGGCAUGCGUAGGAUGGGCUUCCUCCAGCCCCAACAUUGUUGUUGUUGCUGCAAGUUAUUAAUAAAGGGAUAAUUGGUUUUAUACCCCUAGUUGUGUCACGCUCGGCAGGUUUAUCCCUAAUUUGUGAAAAUUCUUGGUCUUGCCCAAGUGUGUCUGGUUCCCUUAUGCUUUUGCCUUCCGUCCCAAUUCCGUCCGGUCAAAGGCGUUUGACCGUUAAGGGGACAUUUUUUGGACCAGUUUGCCCUUCGUACGUGUUGGCAAAGACGAGUCAAAUAGGACAACAGGAUUAAUGGAUCCACCUGUCAUAGACUGAAAUGCCUUUUUUUUUCUAAAUGUCUCACUGCUAUGUAUGGCCCACAUGUCAUACAAAAAAAGAUAAAAAAGGUGUUUAUUUCUCAGCCCCGACCGCGGCCGCCACUAGGAGAGGAUGCACGCCACGCCGGCUGAUCCAGCGCCUGCCCAGACCACCGCAAUUCUGGACCACCGCCAUCGACCUGCCACAGGCCACUGUGUCACCUACCCGCCUCCUCCUCCUCUCUCUCUCUCUCUCUCUCUCUCUCUCUCUCUCUCUCUCUCUCUCUCUGCGUGCAAUAGGAGGUUGUCGCCGCCUGGUAGUUCUCUGCCGCCCGUUUCCCCGCUUGCGUUCGUGCGUAGGAGACACGCCAGCGCCUCGCGCCACCCCGAUCCGUCGCGCGUGUGGGCCACCAUGCAGCCAUGCCCAGCCCAGCAGUGUCGCAGCUCAGCACCGACGCUGCCAUGGCGGUAGAAGUGGUUCGGCAAUUGCUUGCCAGCGCUGUUGCUGCUUGCCCGACGGUAGAGAGAGGAGAGGAGUGAGGCAGCGUCAGUCGGCUGAGCGGGGCGGCGCCUGGGAUGAGAGAGGGAGGUGGUUGUGGGGGGCACUGGAGGUAGGGCGUGCGAAACAGGCGGCGCGGGUGGCGUAUGGCCAGUGCGGCGGAGCUAGGAUGGGAAAGGGGGGGAGAGAGUGGUUUUUCUAUUUGUUAUUUGUUAUUUUGUAUUUAAUUGGGCCCAUAUGUAAGCAUCACAUUGUUUUUUCUUUGUGUUUUAAUUGAAGUUGUAAGGAGGGGCAAAAUGGUCCAGAAAAGUGUCCCCCUAACGGUCAAAUGCCUUUGACCGGAUGGAAUUGGGACGGAAGGGCAAAAACAUAAGGGAACCAAACACACUUCGGCAAGACCAAGAAUUUUCGACAAGGGUAAACCUGUCGAGGGUGACUGAACUAGUGACAUAAAACUAAUUAUCCCAUUAAUAAAACAAUGAGUAGGAUAACUAUUAUGCACCAAAGAUUACAAUUUUUCUGUAACAUAAUACUCCCUCCGUCCCAAAAUGCAAGAUCAUUGUGACACUAUGAUAGUGUCAAAAUUGGUCUUGCAUUUUGGGACAGAAGGAGUAAUUAUAUAACAUAGUGUCGAGUGCUGAGUGUUGACUGAUGAAAUCAAACUGGAUUUUAUAGUUGGAGAAGCGGCCGAACGGAGUAUUUGGUAGCGGAAACCCAUCGGUGUCGGCAUAUGCGGAGCCAUAGGGGUAGGCCCAUUGCUGCAACAUCUCAGUGACGGGCUCGGUGAGAGGGAGGUUACCGUUGUCGGCGAAGUCAUCCCCAGGCACUGACGUCACUGCCUCGAAGCAAGGCACCCGCCAUUGACCGUCCCUUGUACAUAUUGCAGUGCUAGAGCUGUGAAUGUCGUUGAUGGAAAACACCUCCCAUUGCUCUCGUUCCCACAUCAUUGACAACACAAAGGAACCCUACAACCUCUAUCAUGAGAGGUGAGGGAUGAGAGAGACCUACUAUGCCAUCUAGCUCAUGCGGUAGCCUAUAUGUACAACAUUUACAUGUUCCGGUUUCCACAAGGAAGUGCUUCUAUUAGAUUUAUGACAUUGCCACCAACCAACCACACCUUGCUCCACAUAUGCUUCUAUAUAUAACCAUCAAGCUAAUACUCAUUUCAUAUAUUAGAAGCACCCUUGUGAAUGGUUCAAACUAUGUGAUCAUUUAGACUCUAUGAUCCUAGUAUAUGUUAGUUUGUUGGAAUAGACCGCCAAAAAAAAAAAAC